RNAcentral lists this long non-coding RNA (45681 nucleotides) under Setaria viridis. Its description in RNAcentral is "long non-coding RNA (SVIR_LNC007217)". The record is from RNAcentral. Lineage: Eukaryota; Viridiplantae; Streptophyta; Magnoliopsida; Poales; Poaceae.
AUGUUAUUGGUCCCCCAUGUGCAGAAGGGCGCGCGCGUAUGGAAUAACAAGUAGGGACACUGCAACUAAUCUACUCUGCUCGUCCAGUCCCUAGCCUAUAAAUAGAUGCCAUGCUAGCUCUUGUUGUGCUCACAAUUAAUCCGAUUACACACGAGCUUCUCUCCCUGGCCAAGACACAACCAUAGUAUGAUGAAGAACAUGGCACUAGCCGGCAAUGGUAUGAAGAAGUUAAUCCUCGCUGUUCUCUUACUGUGUCUAGUUAUAGGGCAGAUACAAGUGGAAGCUAAGAGCUGCUGCCCAUCCACCACUGCAAGAAAUGUCUACAAUACCUGCCGUUUCACGGGUACAUCCCGUCCAACGUGUGCAAAACUGUCAGGCUGCAAAAUUAUCAGCGGGAACAAAUGCAAGCCCCCUAACGACCACCUCACCCUUGACCCGGACACUGGUAAAUAAUAAAUUUAUCUCACUUGAUUUCUUCGUGAUUUGAGUCGUUAAUGUAUUUUCCAUCUGAUGAAACGUAUUGGUUUUGCAUUGAAGAGGAAGUUAAUGUGCUUAACUUCUGCAAGUUGGGGUGUGCGUCGUCUGUGUGCAACAACAUCAACGCUGGUAAGCAACUUUUGCUCAGACAGAGAAAACAAUAAUCAUUAAUUAGCGGCAGCUAGAAUCCUAUAAUCUAAUAUAUAUAUAUAUAUAUAAUUUUAUCAGCUCUGGGAAAUGAAGAGGCGAACGAUGCCGUUGAGAGUUGCGACCAAGCCUGCUCUAGCUUCUGCAGCGUGCAUGUUGGCAGCGCCACCGUGGUUGCUUAAGCAAAUGCAUCCAACUAGAUCGUCCUUGUGCUGAAUAAUUGGAUAUCGUAUCCACUUAAAGCUGCCUUGUGUAGUACGUCUUUGUGUCUCUCUUUAUAUUCCAAUAAGGUCGGUGAUCUUGAUGCCACACACUCAGAUGUGUGUUCAUCUCCAGAUACUACUCCAUGCUACCUGCCCUUUGUGUUUUGUUCAAUAACUGGGUAUCAUAUCCCAGCCAGUAUGCCGUCUGUUUUGUGUUUGUUUCCUUCUAGUUCCAAAGGGGUCAUCAUGAUGUUACCUUCUUUCAAUAUGGUGCUUUGCAUGACUACUGUUGUAUGGUACCAUCUUGUGGCCAAUAAGUACAUCUUAUCCUAUGACCUUUGCUAUGACCCUUUGCAAAUAAGUAGAAGAUUGUUAUAAGCGUCAAUACUCCGUAUAAAUUGAUCGCUGCUGUGAGUUCCCUUUCAGCUUAUCGUAGGCAUACAUUAUUGCUAGCACGGUAAAGCCAACCAACACGAAUGAUGAAGUAAACGUAGCGGUACUUCUGUAUACCAACACCCUUACUUAAAUGUACCGGUGUCAUUCCCUACUGGCACAUAUAUUCUUAUAUGCUAGCCAGCUUGUAAAAUUAACCAAUUAAAAUAAUUAUUUCAAGAUAGAAAUAACUUAUCGGUUUCUGGAAGCAUGUGUAAUGUGAAUUCAAGGACUCGACGGAAGUUGAAUCACUUCAUCUAUAUUGCUUUCAGUAUUUUGGGUAACUAAAUUUAACAUUUGCACAUACAAAUGUUAAAGUACAAAUGUUAAAUCUAGUUACCCAAGCAGAAUAUGAAGAUAGUUUAUAGUAUAUAUAUACUAUAUAAAUCUAGUUAACAUUUAGUCUAAAUGUUAAAUCUAGUUACCUAAAAUCCUGAAAGCAAAAUGUAUAAAUAUAUAUCUUUUAAGGCAGUAUAAGCUUCGAUUCCUAUUGCUGCUCUGUUAAAUCUCAUCUUUCGUUGUGGCCCAACACUCUAGUAUGCAUGUUGCACCAAGCUUCUUUGAGCCGCUCUGCCCUCUGAUUUUGCUGCGUAGGGGAAUCUUUAUCAGGUUGGGCUACUUCCAGUUGUGCGAUGUAAAGAUUCGUAUUUUCUAGAAGGUAGACAAAAAACUCGCGUUCUCUUAAGGCAACAACCGGAAGAUUCUGCAGCGCACAGGGCAUACCAUUAUUGUAGAAACGACCUUUAGUACCGAUCUCCAACCCCCUUUAAAACUGGUUUUGCAACCGGUACCGUUAUGUCGGUCCUUUAGUACCAGAUCAAAUAAGUACCGGUUGGUAACCAGUAUCAACUUGUUUUGCGGCCAAAAAAAUAAAGAAAAAAACAGUCAGAAGGCUCGCACACACGCGCAUCACAUGAAAUAUGCGUGUGCGGGGUCCAUGGGAUUCGAACCCAUGAAAUCAAGCUGCACGCGACCCUUCGUUACCAUCUCACCUACAUAGCGCAUAUGCUUUCCUGAAGUAACCCGUGGAGGAGGCUUUAGUACCGGGUCAUAACACCACCCGGUACUAAAAAUGACUCUUCAGUACCGGGUCAUAACACCACCUGAUACUAGUAUCGGAUGGUGUAAUGACCCGAUACUAAAAGGCCUCUAGGGACCCUCAAAUUUGAACCCGGUACUAAUGCUAAUAUUAGUAGCGGGUCAAAGUGCAGCCAGAACUAAAGCAUGGGAUGAAAGGUCAUAUUUCUAGUAGUGUAUAGUUGUUGUGAAGGACUGACUUGGCUGUCCUCUCUCUUCUCCAUCCCCUUGGUCUUACGCCGCCGCUCGCACGCGAGCCGGUGCCCAACCAGAGGAGUGAGAGCUAGGGGCAGGUUGGGAGGUGGGGAUAGUGACUGGUGGCCAGGGUGAUGGUUGAUCCUGGUGGGGUUAGGGUUUCAGGGUUUUCGAGCUUCCUAUGGUCGGCGAACCUAGAGGAGAAGCUCAACAUCAGCUGCAACCCGCGAUGGUGGUGGUUUGGCCGGCGCCCGAGGCGAGGCAGCGCGGGAGUGCUGCCGGUGGGUUGGUGUUGGCACUCAUUAUUGACAACUAUUUUGUUCAUAAAAUAACACUCAAACUUGCUGCUGCUGCUGCUGCCAUCGCCACCCUAGCCAUAAUAUAAAGGCAAAAUUUGCUAAAGGACAUGCAAAAUGAUGCUAGUUUGCUGGCGGGCAUCGUUGACCUUGUAAUAUGCUACAAGACACUCUAGUUGUGUAUCAAUUUGCUGAAAGACAUUGCUAUGACUAAAAUAAUGUUUCUGGACUGAGUUGGAGAGAGAGAUGGAGUGAAAUGUCUGUUUUGCCCAUGACCCCACUGGUCAGAUCCUUCUUCUUCCACCCUCCUUUGUUCUUUCUUCAACCAUUACCCAGCUCCAGCGUGUUGCAGAUCUACGAGGGUGGCGGCCUGGGGCGAGGGGCAUCGCUCGCCCUUGGAGGAGCGCUGCGAGCGACGGCGCGGGGGCGGCAACAGCGCGUCAGAACCUGACUGUUCGUUAGCUCCUCUCGCUGCUGGGGAAGAAGGAGGGGGAUGGGCCAUGGACGGGGUUCCCUUGAAAACCUCAGCGUCGAGCUCGGGCGGCUACGCGCAGGCAGCACUAGGCUGCUUCACGGGGAGGGGGCGCGGCCAAUCAUUGGCACCCCACUGGUCCAAUGCUGAUGAAGAUGGUGCCAGCGUCGUGUGAGGACAUCUCAUCUCCUCGAGUUCCAUGGCCAGCACAGGUGAGCUGCCGCUACCACAAAACAGAGGUUUCGUGAGAGUCAAAAAACCUUAUGAAAAUAGCUAAAACCAUCAUGAAAAUAAUCCGUGACAUGACACUCUCACGAAAAUCCUCUCACAAAUAUGGUGCCAUGAAAAUACCAUUUUCAUGAGAGUGAACUGUCAUGAUUUUAUAAGCGUCAAUACUCGGUAUAAAUUGACUACUGCUGUGAGUUCCCUUUCAGCUUAUCGUAGGCAUACAUUAUUGCUAGCACGGUAAAGAGAACCAACACGAAUGAUGAAGUAAACGUAGCGGAACUUUUGUAUACCAACACCCUUACGUACCGGUGUCAUUCCCCACUGCCACAUAUAUUCUUAUAUGCUAACCAGCUUUGAAAAUUAAGCGAUUAAAAUAAUUAUUUCAAGAUAGAAAUAACUUAUCGGCUUCUCGAAGCUUGUGUAAUGUGAAUUCAAGGACUCGAUGGAAGUUGAAUCGCUUCAUCUAGAUUGCUUUCAGGAUUUUGGGUAACUAAAUUUAACAUUUGCACACACAAAUGUUAAUGUACAAAUGUUAAAUCUAGUUACCCAAGCAGAAUAUGAAGAUACUCUAUAGUAUAUAUGUACUAUAUAAAUCUAGUAAACAUUUAGUCUAAAUGUUAAAUCUAGUUACCUAAAAUCCUAAAAGCAAAAUGUAUAAAUAUAUAUCUUUUAAGGCAGUAUAAGCUUCAAUUCUCUGUUAAAUCUCAUCUUUCGUUGUGGCCCAACACUCUAGUAUGCAUGUUGCACCAAGCUUCUUUGAGCCGCUCUGCCCUCUGAUUUUGCUGCGUAGGGGAAUCUUUAUCAGGUUGGGCUACUUCCAGUUGUGCGAUGUAAAGCUUCGUAUCUUUUAGAAGGUAGACAAAAUACCCGCGUUCUGGAAGAUUCUGCAACGUGCACGUUGGCGCUGCCACCGUGGUUGCUUAAGCAAAUGCAUCCAACUGAAUCGUCCUUAAGCUGAAUAAUUGGAUAUGGUAUCCACUGCUUAAAGCUGCCAUGUUUAGUACGUCUUUGUUUUUCUCUCUUUAUAUUCCAAUAAGGUCGGUGAUCUUGAUGCCACACACUCAGAUGUGUGUUUAUCUCCAGAUACUACUCCAUGCUACCUACCCUUUGUGUUUUGUUCAAUAACUGGGUAUCAUAUCCUAGCCAGUGUGCCAUCUGUUUUGUGUUUGUUUCCUUCUAGUUCCAAAGGGGUCAUCAUGAUGUUACCUUCUUUUGAGGUGUCUAUGAUGACUUCGUUAAUAUCAAUAUUAACCAAUUCAAUCUGUCUUAACUAUUUGUAAGGGGUAUGAUGUAUGCAUGAUUAUAACAAUGAUUGCGCAUACAAUCGCCGCCAAAGAAACGGUCAAUACCAUUAAGACAUAUUACAGACAAUUCUCAUAAUCUAUAAUGAAUAUACAUAUUCACUACUGCAGAAGACUGUCAUUUGUAUCGGCUCAUACGUGCCAGGGCAAAGGUCACCCUUGCAUUAAGUACAUUUGCACGGUAAAGACAACCAACACGAAUAAUGAAGUAAACAUGCCGGUGCUUUUGUACACCAACACGCUUACUUAAAUGUACUGGUGUCAUUCCUCACCGGUAGCCGGCUUGAAAAUUAACCAAUUAGAACAAUUAUUUAUUGUAUCGGUGUGAUUUUUGACCUAUUGGAAUAUGAAUUUGACCGUUACUGCAUUCGUCAAGACUCAAGAGAGAAAUAACUGAUCGGCUUCUUAGAGCGUGUGCAAUGUGAAAUCAAGGACUGGAUGGAAGUUGAAGCGCUAGCACUAGUAGAGAAACGACUUUCCAUCCACCCCCUUUUGUCCCGGUUUAAAGUUGGCUCGGGAUAAAAGGUUCACCAACCGGGACUAAAACUCAGUCACUGGUGGGAGGCUCACCAACCGGAACCUUUUAUCCCGGUUGCAAAGGCUAAUGGGAAAAAAAGACUCUGAGAGGCCUUUUAUCCCGGUUUGAAACACCAACCGGGAUAAAAGACCCCCCUUUUAUCCCGGUUGGUAACACCAACCGAGAUAAAAGGGUCAAGAGCCUUUUAUCCCGGUUGGAAACACCAACCGGGAUAAAAGACCCCCUUUUAUCCCGGUUGGUGUUUCAAACCGGGAUAAAAGGGCCCCCACGAGGUGACUGGAAGGUGACUGGAAGGGGAUUAAAUCGUGGGGGACCCUUUUAUCCCGGUUGGAAACACCAACCGGGAUAAAAGGGGGUCUUUUAUCCCGGUUGGUGUUUCCAACCGGGAUAAAAGGGUCCCCCACGAGUUAAUACAAAAGGAUAGUAUCCCCUACAUAGUCAGAUGUGGUGUGUAGGUGGGAUGGUAAGGAAGCUACGCGCGAGCUCCGGAAUUUUUUUUUUUUUUUUUUGCAGCGUCGGCGCUCUCUACCCUUUUAUCCCGGUUGGUAUUACCAACCGGGAUAAAAGGGGGUCUUUUGUCCCGGUUGAGUGACCCGGGAUAAAAGACCCCCCCUUUUUUCCCCGGUUAGUUUAUCCCGGAUGCAUUUUCGGGAUAAAAGCACCCUACCAACCGGGAUUAAAGCUCACUUCUCUACCAGUGUAGCUUCAUCUUCCGCUGCAAGUUAAUUGCUUGGAUAAGAAGUUGUAGCCGCUGCAAGUUAUAAAUAGUCCCGCUGAUGCUGUGCUCCGAAGUCUAUACUAUAUAUGCGGAAACUAGAUUGCUUUCAGGAUUUUGGGUAACUAAAUUUAACAUUUGUACAUAAAAAUGUUAGUUUACGAAUGUUAAAUCUAGUUACCCAAGCAGAACAAGAAGAUAGUAUAUAGUAUAUACUAUAUAAAUCAAGUUAACAAUUAGUCUAAAUGUUAUAUCUACUUACCCAAAAUAUUGAAAGCAAAGAAAGAAUAAGUAUAUAUCUUUUGUUGGAAAAUUGGUCCACGGAGAGGCCCAUUUAGGCCUCGUUCGUUUCACCGGGAUGGGAUUCCAGUCAGGAUUACUUCCAAGUUCGGUUUGAGUGAUUCCACCCGUGUCACUCAAUCCGGCUAGGAUUCAUUCUAUGGGUGAGGAGGUAUGGUUUCAAUCCAGGCCAUCUAAUGUAGAAGGAUUCCAAUCCAGGCCGGUUUUCGUUCCAGGCCAGACUAAAACGAACAACACUUUCAAUGCAAGUCUGGUUUCAAACCGGGCCAUUUCAAACCACCCGGAAUGGACCUCGUUCCAGGCCAAUCCGGUGAAAACAAAUGAGGCCUUAAUGGAAUCCCAAAGCAAGAGUUCAGUGGCAUUCUAUAGUCCCAUGCUGCUAGUUUGAGUUGGUCGAAGCCAACUUAAAUAGGAGAGCUCUCUCACUUCUCUAAAUACGUAACUGAAGGAGAGAAGGGGGCUUGGGUUACACAACGCACGCACGCACGCAUAUUUGCGUUCUUUUCGCGUAACCAACCGCGUGACUUGAAACUUGCGACGUAGCGUGCUGCUAAGUCAAGUUGAUAUAACCUUUUUGCCGUUUGCAUGUAAUCUUUUGACAACGGUCAUUGGAGGUGAUAAGCACGCAGUCAAUACCUUAAUCUUGAGUUAAUAGGGUGGUUACUACUGCCAAUUAGUGGGGCAAUUUUGUAGGGGAAACGGUUAGCAGAGGGCUACCGUCUUCUCUAUAAGAAGUUCUGGAGACGUCCAGGAACACACAUGUACAUGUGAGAGACCCACAAAUUCCUUCCCUUCUCCCUUUUCCAUGUGGUGAAGUGUGCUGUGGUACUGAGCUGCUUGAUCUCGCCGCUCUUCUCCUUGGCAUGCACCGAGGAGGAGGGUGAGCGGUAUCUCCGAGCUAUUGCCGUCAGGAAGCCUGCACGAGGGACAACAAAAAGUUUUUGGGUAGCGCAACUGCCAGCACAACUCUCCCUCCGCCUCUUCUUCACGGUUGAUGGCCACCACAAGCAUAAACCUCGCCUUCGCAUCCACGCAAAAGGGUCGCUGGGGUGCCUUCUUGCAUCGCUUCUCAGCCUCCUUGACUUGCGGCCAGCCAAGAACUGCGCCACCACCUCGGGUGCACGCCACCACUCCAGGGCUGCUACCCCAUGCCUGCGGCCGCCGCCGGCCACCACGCGUGUGCAACCGCGUCGCACCGCUUCCUUGCUUUGUGCCACCACUGCUGCUGUACCACCAGCUCCACCACCUUGGGCUGGUCGCCAGAGUGACUGAUAACUUAUUAUCUGUAACUACUAUUAACUCAGGGAUACAUGCGUCUUUUGCUUCUCCUACUAAUAUGUCCUAAAAUAUCUAGGAUGCCUUAUAUUUCUGGACAGAGGAAGUAUUUGAAUAAAAUGAACCAAUUUAAAAAAAUGUGUUGUACACUACUACAGAAAGACCUAUCAGUGUCAAACCCAAAAAUGUUGUCACCGCCAGUUUUGGGCAUCAUUGGUGAAAGGUUGGCGGUGAUGGGCUUUCCCUUCAACAACGGCACUGGAGCCGACGGUGAUUGACAUUAGAAAACAAAAAAGGGGACCCUACCUAGCCACCCCUGCAACCCGGCCGGCCGUGCCUCCCCUCAUCCCCACCACCUCGCCUCCCCAUGACCCCCCGCCGGCGCCCUUGCGCCUAGCCCCCUCAACUGCCCAGCCGGCCACCCUCAUCACGAGAGAGAGGUGCAUGUUGUAUAAUUGCGUGAAUUUUUUAAUGUUUAAUUUCAUGUAAGUUCCGUGUAAUAAAUUGUACAAGUUUUAUUGUAUAUAUGAAUUCCAUAUAUAUAUAUAUAUAUUUAUAAUUUAAUGUAUGGUUUCAUGUGUAUAUUUCAAUCAUGUGUAUAUUUAGUAGAUUGCCGAUUUUCUUUUUCUACUAGACAAGGGUUGAUGUAUAAUUACGUGUAUAUGUUUAUUGUACGGGCAAUUAGGACAAGUUUUGUAUAAAUUUCUUUUAUUUGAUGGUUGUUGUAUGGUUUCAUGUAUAUACAUUUAUUGUACUACUUUAGACAAUUUUUAAUUUAAUGUUUCUAUGAUUAGAUGUGUGUAUAACUAAUUGUAUUAUUAGUUAAGAUGGGAGCUAAAGAGGAUGAAAGGUAUAUAAUGGAGCAGAUUAUUGCUAGCUCAAACGUUGCAAGAACCUACACCGAGGGUGAGGGUAGCUAGGUGGACAUGUACCUCAACAUGUCCAGUGAUGGCAAUGACGAUGAGGAGCACGAGCAUGACAUCUAUGAUAAUGCGGAACAAGACAUUGCAGAAUUGGAAGGUUCUAAUGAGGUGUGCUUCAUGUUGACAAUCUAGUUGGCUUUUUUUCGUUGGUCACACCUUAGUUACCAUAGAACUUCGUCUCGGGAGAAGAUUGGUGGUGGUAUGGUGAUUGGAAUUUUAUUUCCACGAAAUCUGAUUUCCAUCGAAUCAUAUCCCUUGUAUUUAUCUUCUUUUUAUUUGUGAGAGCAUCUUCUUUAUGCUUGCAAAACAAUUCAAGUGCACAUACUACCCCUAGGGUGACGAUUGGGAGUAGAAAUAAUUGCCAACAAAACAACACCACAUCCUAAGAUUCUUAACUUGUGGCAUAAUUAGUCUAGUAAAAAGAAAGAUAAAAACCUAAUGGGUGUAUGUGAGUGCAAUGUGUAUAUGCAUAUGAGUGGAAGGCAUAUAAGCAAAGACAAUAUUUACACAUAGUUCUAAACACCAUGUUUACAGCUAGGUUGCUGAAUUUCUCCAUAGCCAUAGAGAUUAAUUAACCAAGGUCAAAACACGAUGUCUAUCCCAAGAUCAGUAAUUAUUUAUAGCACAAGAAAAAGAAAGCGCAUUGCAAAGUUUAUAAACCAACCAAUACAGCAUGAAAACAAGAUGAAUAGCUAGCAAGGUUUAUUAAACUGAAUGAUGACGGUCUGUAAGCAAGUUUAAACACCAUCUUUACACAAGAUUGCAAAUGGAAAAUGCCCAUAUGAAGCACUAACAUGGAUAUGAAAUCAUUCAUCAUAAAGCGUAAAGAACAACCAAGCCAACCAUAUGCAAAGCAUGAAUGGAAUGCAAUGAAGGUGCAAGAGAACAUUUUUGGAUGAACACAUUAUGAUGAUGGCAAAAUGCAAUGCAUGCAGAAAAAAUAAAUAUGAACAUGAAUAUGAUGAUCAGGGGCGGACCCACUAUUGUGGCCUGGGUAUUCCUCGGCAUACCCAAUAUUUUUGGGAAAAUGUUUAGUAGUUUUUAAUGGCAUAUACAUGUAUAAUAUAGUUUAGGUGUUAAAAUUGAUAUUCACAGCUAUUUUGGGCUCCAAUUCGCGUCCAAACCAACCUGGCCCACAGACCGCACCCGGCCGCCCGGCCCAUCGGCCCAUCUUGUCACUGAUCCUCCCACCACCACACUCAGCCCGUCAGUUAGUCAGGUCCCGAGCUCCUGCCUGACCUAGUCCGCUACCACCGCCAGGCGCCAGGCACAGCUGUACACGCCGCCCCCGUCCACCCACGUCCGCCGCACGGCCGCGUCGCGCCCCCCCCCGGCGCCCGCUGCUGCCAGAACCCAUUAGGCCUCCACCGGCAAGUCCACCCACAGUCCCGCGCGACGCGGCAGCCUCUUGGCUCUCGGCGCUCGCGGCGCGCCAAUGCCUGCGCAGCCCCAGCAGGCGACUGCCCCCCCCCCCCCCGCAUCGGGCCUCGGCCCCUCCCCAGCUCCCCCUCCCCCCUCCACCAGGACUGCCUGCUGGCCCCCACCGCGAGGUAAUCGAAAUGGACUGCUCAAUCUCUCAAUCUGUUGACAUGAUGCACACGGUUGCAAAAAUAGAUGUGUCAAAAUAGAUGUAUUGCCAAUUGCUAUAGAUGCAUAUGGUUGACAUGAAGAAGUCAAAAAUGACAUUUGGUUCCUUGUAGGCAGUCAAAAAUGAAGAAGUCAAACAAUAUUGAUCUGAAAUCAAUGCGGGAAAGGGCUACGAAGACACACGGGUAGAUUCCCUUGUGAACUUUUUAUGUCGUUCGUCUAAAUAUAUUUUUGCAAUGGGCAUACCCUACUCUGAAAUCCUGGGUCCGCCACUGAUGAUGAUGGUCUAAACAUAAAACAAGCCUAGAUUAAUUAGCUACAACUGAAAUUAAGCAAAGGUUAAUGUCAUUGACCCUAGCUCUAUCCUAGCUUUUACUAAAGUCCCGGCACAUAUAGUGGUUGGGCCCACUCUCUCUACUUCCCUCUCUGCUGCAUGCACACACACGAGCAACUGGAGGCCCAACAAAGCCCAGAAGGGUUCGGCCGAACCCGUCCGAUCCAGUCUGAGCGCCGCUCCCUCCCAGCCUUCGCGCAGAUGCUCCUCCAACGUUCCUUGACCCCUCCCUCAGUGUCCCAUUGGGUUUAACAUUGUAGGAGAGGAGUCCCUUUUUUAAAAUCUCAACCACCUCCUCUCCUCAUUCACUCCACUCUCAUCUCCAUCAAACUCACCAAGAUCCACAUCGGAAAUACCUGCUUACCACCAUGGCUGGCAAAGCCCUCGUCCCUUUCACCAACUUGGGCUUGACCAUUGAUCUCGAUGGGAAAAUCACUCCAGCAAAUGUCAUUGUCCCUGUCGGCGAUCUGGCGAUGGAGGAGGUCCAGGCACUAGAGGUCGAGCCCCUAGCCAUCAUACCGCCCAAGGGGUAAAGCAGGAGCAUGACAGGCGCUGCUAGGGGUUCAGCCGAACUCCCAGUUCAGCCAAACGAGGACGGCGUCGCCUCGGCCUCCCGCUCGACUGCAUGCUUCCCCUUGCCAAGGAGGACUCCAGAACAGCGGGCGCGUGCGUCAAGUCCCUACAAAAGGCUGAAAUACAAUGAAUAUCCAGGGUCACCCUUGAAGAUGGGUGAACGCUACGCCGGGUCCUUGUUUGACUAGUACGGCGAUGCAUUCUGCCACCGCUAUGUCGUUGUCGAGAUUAGCGGAUCAAGACUUAGACUAGUAAAUUUCUUUUAUGCGCGUAAGGCUUCAGAUGGUGGCGUGGGAGACAUGGGUUUUAUACUAGUUCGGGCAAUGGAAUACCCUACGUCCAGUGUCUGGAGCUGCUUGUGUUGCCCACGCGGGGUUCUGUAGUAGGGGUUACAGGUGUGCGAGAGAGGGAGCUAAUCCCAGGUCUCUUAGGCGUGUUCCGGUCCUCUAGAUGGGAGAAGUGUGUUCUGUUUGCUUGGGAGUAUCGGUUGUGUCUGAGUUGUCUCCGGAGCCUCCUCCCGUCUCAGGUCCCCGAUUCUCCUUUCAUAGCACAAGGAGACCAUCGGGGUUACAGACGAGACCGAGCGUGGGGAGGAGUAAAGAGAUAAACAUAGCUAGGUAAAAAUACAACAAGAAAGGGGGGAACCAAGUUUCUAGGUCACCGGCGUCCUCGCCGGCCUUCGACUUCCGCCGGCGCAUUUGUCGGAGGAGGGUGGCCGCCAUCGCGUUCUGUCGAUGGCUUCCUCGGUGACUGUAGCCACCGGGCGUGAUGAUGGCAUUUCGUCGUGACCCUUUGUCUGUUGGGGGAGGCGGCGGAUCCUGCCAUUCUGCUGACGGCUCGCGGAGUGCGAACGUCGCAUCCCUGCCGCUGGGCACGCGGGGCGCGAGAACGUGCGAGGCUUCCCCCUACCCCAGGCGGCGCAGGCCAUGAGUGCCCUGUGGCAAAUCGGAGGAGGCCGCAGCUACUGUAGCUUGUACUGUGCAGCCACGUAUGGGUACUUGUGGCAGGUUGCGUGGUGGAUGCGGAUAUCCUUCUCCCUGACAGAUCUGCGGCGCAUUUAUGGCGAGAUCGACAUGGGGACCCACAAGACCCGCGCCCAAGGCGGAUACUUGUCUGGAGGGCCCGGGUUAGCCUGACCCCCUACGCUUGGGGUCGGGCGAGGCGGAGACUUGCGGCGGGGCGUCGGACGCUCCCGACACUAGACCUGCGGUCGCGCAAGGCGGAGCUUGGUCUUCCGGGGGUCGGGGGUGCCGGACCCCAGGAUGCGGGGUCGGGCGAGGUGGAGCGUAAUUCUUGCCUCCCAUGUUGGGCCGAUGGCAGUCUUUGUUACCUCUAGUGGGCUUGGGCCUUUAUGUUUUGUUGUUUCCAUGGGCUUCGAGAGGUCGUUAAUAUUUCCCCCCAACAGUAGCCCCCGAGCCUGUGGUGGAGUGGGGGCGCUCCUCCGGAGGCUACUAUCAUCGCCCCUAGGGAAUCCUCGCAGUUGAUCCGGGAUAGGAGGUGUUGUUUGCACGGCUUGACCGAGGGGGUCGAUUAGGCGACGCAUCCUGUGAGCGACUCGGUGCGGGAGGGUUUCUUGUUGUUCCCUUCUGUCUGAGAGCCUUAAGUCGAGACCACCUGCGUGGCCUUUGGUUGCAAGGCCAGCCCCCGAGCCCCCGCACGUUGCAGGGGACCGGUCGGAGGCUAGGUCGACUUUUGUUCAUUACCCUCAAGCGUCUGUUCGCUAGGACGGAGGGGGCGAGCCGUGCCAUGCUAUCCUCAUCGGACGAACCAUGGUGCUCAUUGAGUUACUAACGGGUUGAUUCGAGUGGGAUCCCGGUCCCCGUUCGGGGGGGGUCCGGCUUGGGCCAAGCUGGUGGCGUACCCCAGGCUCCGGUCGGCCAGUUCAUAUAGUUCCUGAGUCCGUUCGGUCGGACCGGGGGCUCAUUGCCUUUCUUCGGGGAAAAACCAUGAACUUUGAUGCCGGUCCAGACUCGAAUGUGAGAUUGAGACGCCCGGGGCUGUCGCGUGCCCGGGUGAUGGCCGCUAGCGGACCCGUCUCCUCUCACCCCUCACUCGGGGGUAUCCUGAGGCGGCUGUCGAACCCGUGGCGGGCCAGCCUUCGAACCUCUGGAUCGUAAUGGGCCGUAGGGGCGUUUUCAGCCCCGUAUCCCUUUUUACCUUUUGGUGGGCCUUGGGCCGAAUCAUGGAGGAGGUCGGGCCUUGGGCCGGAUGCGGAGGAUGUCGUGCCUUGGGCCGGAUGUGGGGGACGUCGUGCGUGUCUUCCGGGAGACGAAGUGGUGGAGGGUGCCAACCCGCGAAUCGAGGGAGGAGGGGAUGUUUCUACUGCAGGUCAUGCGCACGGUUUCCGAAAAGGCAGCGGGCGUGACGGGACGUACCUCGCGCCGCAUUUAUUGCGAUGGGGGCGUCUGUUCUGCUUCCCUCGUGCCUUCCCUAUAAAACGAGGACUUCGCCUCGCCGGUUCCGCCCGCCAUCUACCUUCAAGCCUUUUCGCCUCCUCGCGCGCCCUUAGCUUUCCUGUGCCCGCUUCGUCUUCCUCCGCCCAGUGCCGCGCCCUUUCUCCCCAUCCGCCGUCGAGUUCUUCUCCCUCCGGCGAUGGGAUCCUGGGCGCGUUCCCACUUCGGCCCCUCACGCGCCGAAGGCCUAGUGAGGAAAGGCCUCCUUUGCGAGAGGACGGAGACGGAUGAGUGGGGGUUCCCUGAGAUGGAAGAGGUGCCGACUCCGCCCACCGGCUACGUCGUUUCCUUUGCCCACUUCCACGAGAGGGGGUUUGCGACUCCGCCGAGCCUCUUCUUCCGCGGGCUUUUGUAUUACUACGGGCUUGAGCUGCAGCACCUCAACCCCAACGGGAUUCAGCACGUCGCGGCGUUCGUUGCGGUGUGCGAGGGGUUCCUGGGCAUUGAGCCCAACUUCUCGCUGUGGAAGUACUUCUUCACGGUCAGCCUAUACCAGAAGGCCGAGAAGAGGGGAAGCCAGCAGCGGUCGACCCCGGUGCCGAUAGGGUGCGUCGGAAUCCACCUCUGCCAUACUCGCGCCAAGGAGUAUAUCGCGAUGAAGACCGCGGCAUCCCACAAGGGGUGGCACCAGCAAUGGUUCUACGUGAAGAACUACUCCAACCCCCCCUGCCGGAGUUCACCGGCCGCAUUAUUGAAGCGGCGCCGGAGGUGUGGGUGUACGGCCCGGUGGAGAAGGAGAAGAAGCGGAUCACCGGCCUGCUGCAGGCCAUCGAGCACCUGAAGGAGAGGGGACUGACCGGAGCCGGAGUCAUCGGGGCGUACCACGCCCGGCGGGUGGCGCCGCUGAUGCUCCGGGUCCGCUCGCUCGCCGACAUGACCCCCGGUGCUCUCACCGAUGGCACUGUCCUCGCGACGGGUGCUCUCGCUGCCUCCGAGAUCCGGCAGCGGAUCCGGGAGGCGCUGGAGGACAAGGACGCCGAUUACCCGGUGCCCGGCCACCCUCCGAUGCGCCCGGACGAGAAUUUCAUUGAUCUGGUAAGGAUUUUGCGCGCCAGUUUCCCUCUCUUGCGUUUCUUGGUAUGCCGUUCUGACGCGAGGCCCUCUGUGUUUGCAGGGUAGCAUGACCCGGGUCGUCGACUUGCGUCCGCCAGUGUCGGAGGACGCCGAGUGGCGGUAGCAGAACCGUCUCCUUGCCGAGAAGCAAAAGUGACGCAAGGACAAGAGACAGCGAAGAAGAAGAAGAGGGCCGCCAAGGAGUUCCAGCGGCGGCGGUGGGGAUAGGUCGUGUCGGAUGACGAUGACGAUGAGAAGGAGGAGGAGGAUGACGAGGAGGAGGAGGAGUUUAUCCUGUCCCCCCGGUCAGGGGCGCUUGUUAUCCGGGAGCCGCGCUCCCAAGCGGCCAUGGGGGACAAGGCGGGCGAGCUGCCUGCCCGGACCCGAUCCUGCGAAGCUUUGGGGGCGCGCCCCAGGGGUCGGCGCAGAGCGCCCCCCGGGGGUCGACGGAGCCGACCCCCAUCCCUACACCUGCAGCCCAGGAGCAGAGGAGCAGCGACAAGCGGCCGUUGCCAGAUGCCCCGGGGUCGGCGUCCAGCUCAGAGGCGAAGCGCGCGCGCCGCCCUUGCGCUGGGGGAACGUGAGUUGAAUUUCCUUGCGAAUCUCGUUCCUUUCCAUGCAUUGUGUUUGUUUCCGCUGAUGCUGUUUGUUGUCUCACAGCACCGCCCCUCAAGGCCUUGUCCCGCCGUUGGCGCCAAAGAAGGCGUUGCGGUGUUGUCGCCUCUGCGGGGCGGACCGCGGCUCCGCCGGCGGCGAGUGGCGGGGUCACUGGUGAGACCGCGGGUCCUACCGCGGAGGUGGCCCCUGCGGCGGCAACCGGUGGAGUGGUGCCACCGCCGGGCAUGGGACAGGGUCUGGACCCCGCUCCGUCCUCCGCCUCUUCGGCCGACCCCGCGGUGCAGAGUAUCGCUCCUGGGGGCCCUCAGGCCGGGGAGGUGAUUGACCUCGACGCCGACGAGGUGGAGGAGACGGCGGCGGUGGAGACGGGGGCGGUUGCCCCAGCGGCCAUGACGGGGACGACGACGGCGACGGGGGAAGGAGAGUCUACCCCCGCGGCCACGGCGGGGACAGUGGCGACAGAGGAGGCGGGGACGCCCGCCCCGGCGGCUGCGACGGAGGAGGCGGCGGUGACGGAGACGGGGGCUUCCGCCCGGGAAGCCACAGCCGAGGUGGCAGCGGCGACGGAGGUGAAAGUGCCUGUUCUGGAGGCCACGGUGGGGGUGGGGACGCCUGCCUCGUGGCCACGACGGAGGGCGAGGCGGCCCCAGGGACACUUGCUCCGGCACCCGCGUUGGAGGCGGUGGCGCCGACGGGUUGGCCCGUGGCGGCCUCGACGGGGGCGGGGGUGCGUGCGCCGGGACCGUCGGUGAGGCCGGCGACUUCCGGGAUGGUGGUGCCCGUCUUGACGGCGGCGGCGGCGCGGUCGGCCCCCGCCCUUGCCUCUACCACUCCCAUUCCCAAGGCGUGGAGCGGAUCCGUCCUGCGUUGGUCGUCUCGUGACGACCCGCAGAGGCCCCUCUUCACGUUGGAUGAUGCCACAGAAUGGGGCAAGUGGCAGGCGCUGCAGGGCGGACUCGCUAACGUCCGCGCCGCUCUAUCUUCGGCGUUGGGGGAGCUGGACGGCGUCAUCUUCCCCGGUGGCCGGGUAUGGUGCUUUCUCCGUUGGUUAUUUUCUUCCCGUUACUUCGUCCCUGAUGGCACAUUGUUCUGCAGGCCCUCCAAGAAUGUAGCCGGGGAAAAUCUGAUUUCCUUUGGCUCGAGCAGGGGCUCUGGGAGCGCUUCAACUUGGAGUUGCAGCGGACCGGGGAGCUGACCAUGCAAGUCGCCACCGUCUAGCAUGUCAUCGACGAUCUGCGAAGGCACGAGCAGGCGGCACAGGAGGACGCGCGGCGGGCGGAGGCCAAGUUCCAGGUCGUUGCCGAAAGGGCUCGCUGCGACCGCGAGGAGUUCCAGGCCGUUGCCGAAAAGGCCCGCCACGACGCUGAGGAGCUCGCACGGCUGAAGGUGCAGCAUGAAGCUCUUCAGAAGAGCGGCAGAGGGCCUGGCAGGACCGGGACGCCGAGAAGGUCCGGAAGGAGGAGGCUGAGAAGGUGGCGGCCAACCUUGGGGCUGAGGUCAGCCAGCUCCAAGUGCAAGCGCGAGAGCUUCAGGCCUCCGUGGCCCAGGGGCUCGACCAGGAGCGCCAGCUGAAGGCCUAAUCCGAGGGUAUGACUCUGUUUAUUUCUUUGUCUUUGUGAUGUUGCGGUGAUAUUUUAUUUGGCGGGUUCUUCUGGAUGAUCCUUGCAGAUGAGCUCAACUGGCUGAGGGAGGUGCUUGACGCGGAGCGCGCUGAGCACGGCGACCUGCGGGACGCGGUCCGCGUCAUCUGUGACUUCCUUAGUGUGGUCCAGGGGGAGGGGACGAGCUCGCUGGCGGCUCGUGUCCUCGGGACGUACCGCCGGACCAGCGAGAUCGCCCUGGAAGCGCUUCGCACCGGCUUGAGGCAAGCCUUUGGGGUCUUCGGCUCCCACUAUUCCGGCAUCAACUUCGCCGGGAUGAGCGGGGGAUACGCCACCGGCUACUACGAGGCCGAGCUGGAUGAGAUCGACGUGUCGGUGCUCAGCCCGGCGGAGGCCUUGGUGAAGCUCCUCGAGGAUGAGGCCGUCCCGCCCGAAGAUCCCCGGACGAGUUAACUAUAUCGGGCUGGCGCCCCAGAUGUAAAUACGUUAGGGAAAGACUUGUUUUUUGUGAGGGCCGUAGAGGCCUUUUCUAUGAAUUGUCGUAAAAAAGUUUUUGAUUCCCUUUCUUGCUUUUUGGACUUGGAAAGUUUAGAGCACGUUGUCGGGCGUGUCAGUAAGCUUUGAUGAGCGAAGGCACCGUAGCCGCUGGGGCGUCGUUUUUUUUGCAGUCCGAUCAAUCUUGCCUGAACACCGUUCGUGCACUUUCUCCUUUUUAUGCCCAAAAGUUCAGAAAGAGGGUCGGCUCGGAAAGAGAAAGCGUUUUGAGAGGGUGUCAAGUGGCUUAGGUACUUGCGGCAGGUUGCGUGGUGGACGCGGAUAUCCUUCUCCCUGACAGAUCUGCGGCGCAUUUAUGGUGAGAUCAACAUGGGGACCCACAAGACCCGCGCCCAAGGCGGAUACUUGUCUGGAGGGCCCGGGUUAGCCCGACCCCCUACGCUUGGGGUCAGGCGAGGCGGAGACUUGCGGCGGGGGGUUGGACGCUCCUGACCCUAGACCUGCGGUCGGGCGAGGCGGAGCUUGGUCUUCCAGGGGUCGGGGGCGCCUUACCCCGGGAUGCGGGGUCGGGCGAGGCGGAGCGUAAUUCUUGCCUCCCAUGUUGGGCCGACGGCAAUCUUUGUUACCUUGGGUGGGCCUGGGCCUUUAUGUUUUGUUGUUUCCAUGGGCUUCGAGAGGUCGUUAAUAUUUCCCCCCAACACUAUGAGGAGGACUUGUGGGCAGAAAGUCAGCUACCACAAACUUGCCUCUGAAUAUUUGGAGUGCAAACAUUGGAUGGUGGUUGUGGAGAGCCCCAGCCAUACCUCGCACCCGUGGAGAGGUAAUUGUCGGAUUGCUUGGUUCGUCUCUAGAAUGCGACAAGGUCAGGCGCCACCUCUCACUGCUGCCAGUCAGAAGGCCGAGGGGCCAGUUUCAACAUAGUAAUGAGAAUCUCCGAAGGCCAAUAUGGUUAAGCAGCUAACCUCCAUGAUCAUAGACUUACGUUUAGAAAAUAGGAGGCUUAGCGAUGCGUUAACAGAGCAGAAGUUAGAAACAGAAGAACUUAAGGACGACUUCCGUGUCCUCCGCCUUGGUCUUUGUGCUAAGAUAAAGCGCUUGUACAAUGCCACGGGGAAUGACGGUCUCUACGAUGCAGCUCAAUAGACGUGCCCCUUGUAUCCUUUCCUUUAGGCACUUUAGAAUAUGUUUAUUUGUUUUCCUUCAUUUUAAUUUCCAAUAGAUUGUUAGCGCCUCCAAUUUAAUUUCAAUAAAGUGUAGACUCACCGGUCAUCCAACUUGAUGGAGUCCUUUUGUCACCUAGUUGUCUUUGGAAGAAGUAGCUGGGUACAAAAUAAGUGUGGGGGAGAGCCACAGACUCUCUAGAGCUGAAACAAUGCACAACACCCACAAAUAGAGAAAACCACGCUGCACCAGCACGUACGUGAAAGUGGAGCCAGAGCUGGACCCAUAGGGGUUUGGCCAACCCAAGGGGUGGCCCACUCGGGCCAUCUUCAUCCACCGCGUCGGUUUGUGUCUCUUUACCCCUGAUCUCCCUGAUUCAUGAGUUUGAAUGAAUUUUAAAUCUGAUCAACUAAUUCAAACUCAACUAAAAUGAAUCAACUGCUCCACCUGCUCUACAUGUUUUCUAUGGUUGGCUUGCAUAUGUUUUAUUUCAUGCUUAUCAUCUUGAUGCUUGUGAACAAAUAUCUUUAGGACAGCAUGCUCAUCUAAGUAGUUGAUGUGUAUGAUAUGGUUCGAUGAUAUGAUCUUCACUCUUAAUGCUUAAGUGCUUGGGAAAAUCUAUUUGAAAAUUUAAAAGCCUUUUUGAAAUCUCCUCUUUGAUGUGCCAAAGUCCUACCAAAGCCAUAUGAUAAGUUAUCUUGAAAAACCAUUUGCAUAUGUUGCUUGUCUUUGCAUUGAGCUUUGUCAAAUUGGUGUGACCCUUGUCACAAUUCUUUUCAUACUUUCAUGAUCAAGACUCAUGUGCACGCCAUAUACCCCUUGCUAUGCUUCUAUGAGAUGUUAGCAUUGUACCAUCCAUUCAUUCCACAAAAUAAAUGCUCCACCAUAUGUGUUGGUCUCCUUCUAAGAUUAUUGUUACAAAAGAGAUAUGGGCUAUCAAAAAAAAAUAUGAAUGUCCAAGAAAGUUGGACACAUGAAUGUCCAAUAAAAAGAAAAAGAAAGAUAGCCAUGUCCUCAGAAAUAUUUACAAAGGGAGAGAGAUCAUACAAAAAGGAGUUUCCAUUCCAUCCACCACAUCCAUACAUGUGCACAUCUUGAUCUGAUUGUAUGACUUAUUUUUCUCUUUGGAUCUGGUCUUUGACUUUGCAAUAUAUGUGAUGCAAGCAUGCCUUAUCCUUCAUAGCCUACCUUGAGCUCCACAUAUAGCCAUCAUUAGAAGUAGGAUGAAGAAAGGCAAGUCUAAUGCCUUGGUGAGGACAUAUACACAUUGAGUGAUCUGAGAGAAUCAAAUGAGGAGCUAAGCAAGGUUUUGUUUUGAAAACUAAUUGAAAAAUCCCAAGCUACUUGGCAUAAGGAGUUGAGGUGACUUGAUUCAAGACCAUUACAUUCCUCAACUACCCAAGAUGGCAUGAUAGACACUCCAAAGUUCACAAGUGCAGGUAUGGUUUGGAAUAUCUUUUAGGCUCGCUUCAUACCUUUGAAAGUUAUGUUUCACCUUAGUCCUUUCUCGUUCACUCAAGGAUAAGCAAAGGCUAAGUGUGGGGGUGUUGUUGAUGGCUCUUAAGUACAAAAUCUGCGCCAUCAACUCUUGCAUAAACACAUAAAAUAUGAGCAUCAACAAUAGUGGUAGGAGUUAUUACAAACGAAUUCCACAAGUCUUGGUGAAUAUUUGUAUGCAAGCCCAAUAGGAGAGAAAAGACACCUCAAAAGCAAGGAAACACACUCUCAACCAAUCAAGAGCAAGCACAUGGAACCAUGGGCCCACAACCAAAAGGAAAUCGACUACAUUCCAAACACCCUAUACCCACAUGAGAACCCAUAGGGCAGUGACCCAGAGCAAAGGUGAUGCCAGAGUGUAGAUGGUAGUUAGCAUGCCAAAUUUUGAACCGCAAGCGCUCGGAUUAGUUGUUUCUUUUCCCUUAGAGAUUCCCCCAAGGUUUAUCAAUCCAUGGAACAAGGGAUUUGCACGUUUCACUAAGCACUAAUCAAUGUAAUUGAAAGCUUUUCGAAUAAGAUAUGAUUAUGCUAACAAAGGAACUAAGCAAUCUAGAUUAAGAUGGAUAGAGAGUACAGGUUGUGAACAAGAUAGAUUAAACGCUUGUAGAUGCAAUCACCAUGCAUGAAUGAAUUAGAUCUAGGUGUUAUUGUGAGUGGUUGUGAACCAUGCCCAACACUUUCCCACCCGCAACAUUGUCACUACAUGUGGGUACUCAACUAUCGGAACAUAAGAACACAUCAAGAUGAUCAUUCUAGGUAAGCAAAUAAGCAACCCAAAGUAGCGCUGGCCAGCCUUUUCAUGAAAGAGCAUCAUCAAGAUAAGAUUGAUAACAAAAUAGAUCUCAACCAAAGGUUCAGCGAUUACAAAUCAAGAUCUUCGUAUAACCCCGAUGACAAAUAGAGGUAUUACCCCCAUGAUCUUACACAUGUUGAUGAAUUUUAGGGUAAAGGACACCCUGUAGAUCAACUGGACCAAAGAUGAUGAUGAACGGGGGCAGGGAAGGCCCAGGUUGAUCAGCCUGCGCACUUUUGAGCCGAUCAGCUCAGGGGGUUUCCUCCUCCCCUGGUGCUCCUCUUCGCGUGGCCUCCUCUGGAUCCAAUCUUCUCUUCAUUUCUCCUACUUGUGGCGGCAAUGGAUGGUGUUUGCAUGGUGAUUUCCUCUUCUCCCCAACUCUCCCUCCUUGAAGUCCAUGAGGGGGUAUUAAUAGUCUCCAAUAGGCGGCAGCUCUGGGUCAAUGUCAGUGAAAAAAUCCUAGAGAUCAUCGUACACUUCAUGCUGAGGAAACAAGAGGUUGACCGAGCCCUGGGAUAGACCAAGAGGAUCAUCCUAGAGGGUCCCAGGCUAAUCGGUCUAGGCCCUUCCUAGCCCUUCUAGUCCUCUCCUUCCUCGUGCUGGCUUUUCUCGAUGACCCUUGUCCAAAUAUCCAUGAAGCUCUAUAUACAUACCCCCUUGAUUAUGUUGUAUUUCCUGUCAAAAUACAAUGCUCCAAAAUACAACACAUAUGCAAUAAUAGGGUUAUUUCAGGUGCCAAUUGGUGGGUUAGUAUACGAAUAAGCAUGAAAAUACUGUUUAAAUGACACUAAAAGUGUGUCAAUAACGAGCACCAACAAUCCCCCCACGCUUAGAUCUUGCUCGUCCUCGAGCAAGUCUAGCGACUAAAAGAUCUUGAAUUAAACCUGAGCAAGCGAGUCAAGUACCUAGCCUUGAAACAAAAGAUUAGAGGAGCAGCAAAGAUAAUCAAAGUCUGGGUGUUCAAAGAUUUAUCUAAGCAAAGAUUCCCCUACAACUAUUAUUCAGAACCAAGUAACUUCAAAAAUCAACUACACUUAUUUUCUGGCUUUUUUCAGAGGGUUUUUCUUUCAUCAUAAAACAAUCUCCCUGCAACAAAAUUGAAAAAAGAAUUAUUUUCAAGGUGCUUACAUGUCGCUUAAAUGAAUGUUGGCUAUCCUACUUAUUUGCAAGCUCUCAUCUCUCAAAAUUCAUUCAAUUAUAUGGUGGAGUUUGGGUAAGGUUAGCUAGAAUCAACACGUAUAUUAUUGAAUUAAGAAAACCCUCUAACGGUGGCCUACCUUCCGAGCCAUUGAUCAUAAGAAUAUCCACAUAAUGUGAAGUUUUCAAGGAUGAGAAGAUAUAGAAUGGUGGACAUGUGCAAAGGCAAAGAAAUAUAGUGACUCUGAGGCACAAGCAAUGUCCUCGUCGUUGGAUUGCAUAUGGUUGUAAUGAAAAUAUGUUCCUUAAACAAGUCUAUCUUUUCUUUGCACCACUCUUGAUCUUCAUGACAGUAAAAACUCCUCCUUUAUUUCUUUCUCUCUUUUCCUAUUAUUUCUUUUUAUUUGUCUCAAUACUUUUAUUUCUUUAUUUCUUUAUUUUAAUCUCUUCUCUGAACCUCUUCUGAACACCACAUAAUAAAAAUAAGUUUUAGAUCCUUCCAGAGACCUUCCAGGAAUUUGCUACAUGAAAACCGAGGCAAGGAGACCCCAGGCCGAUUGGCCUAGCCACUCCUUUGCUCUCCUCUAGCUCUUCUUUCUGGUGAAGCUUCCUUAUCUUGUAUCUUUCCAAAAAUUUCAUAAAGCUCGACUAGAAACGGAACAGAUCUUCAUAUAAUGAGUUGUGUUCAAGGAAUUGGUAAUAAAAUUGAGAAAUUUGUGGUUCGGGUUUACGAAUUCAGUACAAAAAUAUGAUUGUUCCAAUGAAGAACUCUCAUUACUGAAUAUUGACGAGGCAAGCAUUCAAAGAUGGUAAAAAGGAUAUGAUCAAUUCUCAAAAUUAAAGCAAACCAAGAGAGAGCGAUCCUAAUUCAAUUCAAAGUGUCAAAUGUUGCUUAUGGUGGUAUGAAUAAAUAUUUUUAGGCAUUGGGUAGGAUAAAUAAAAACUCUCAACCUGGUUAAAAGAUAUUGAUCAAUCUUGUUUUUGCAGAGGUUUUAAAUAAAAAAUAAAAUUUUAAAUCACCUCCAAUUCAAAGCCUUACUCAUAAAUCAUAAUCAAAACUGAAGCACUUGAUCAUCAUAAAGCAUGGGUAUUGCAUAAACAAAUCGAUUACUAAAACUCCACAACUACGAUUUAGAAUUCAAGACAAUGCUCAUAAUCUAAAGUUGCAAAGAUAAAAUAAAAGACAACCAAGCCAAGGUAGACACUAAAAACACUUGCACGAUCCUUGAAUUUUAUUCAUGCUUCUUCUCACAAAGACGCUAAAGUAGCCAUGUAGGCCUAAGUCUUCCCAAAAGCUUAAGAAAACUACUACUUUAUCUACUUUUGGUUGAAAUAAAAAGACUAAUCUAGACUCUCACAUGAUUCGACUCGACCAAAUUAGAUCCAAAAACUCAUACGAGCGACGAUCUCCCCCCCCUCACGCUUAAAAUCUACGACCUCCUCGUCGUAGCCAUAUGGAGUACAAGGAAAAGAAGCUUGUAAACGCUCUAAUGACGCUACCCGCACUACUUGCACACGGGAUGGUUGCUGCUUCCUUCGCUUUGUUCUUCCUCAUGUUGCUGCACAUCCCGAAGAGCUUCCUCACGUUCCUCUGCAAGAACUUGAACUCGUCCUCCUGACGGCGAUCAUUAUCUUCUGCCUUUUGAUCCAGAGCUUGUAAGGCUUGCAUGAUGUCAUCGAACGCAUCGAAGAGGUAGUGGAUGUUCUUCCUGCAAGCUGUGGAACAUGUACGAUCAUGCUCCUCCGAUUCUGGCCCGUCGUCUUCUAGAUCCUUCUCUUUGCCCUUGUCUUGACGGUGGCUAUCUUGCUCCUUGCUCGCCUUCUUGCCUUCAGCCCAAUCCCAGUACGUGUUGUCAUCUUCUUCAUCGUCACGGCCUGCAGCACCCUAUGAUCCAUUGUCUAUCUUGUAUGAAAGAAUCAGAAGCUUGUUCUCCUCAGGGUGUCUUGCGCGGUGCAGCGUUUGCAAGUGCAAGACUUGCUAGUUCCUUUUACACAUUGUAAUGUUCAUUGCAUGCUCUAAUUGUUCUACAUUUGUAAUUUCUUGGUGAAGUUUGGUUACUGAUCCACUGUUUGAUUAACUCUUGGGCCCAAACACUGUACUACUUCUGAUUAGAUAUCUGUAUCUUGACUUUGACCAAAAAAAAUAUCCGGCAGUUUUUGCCAUUAAAGUUUCAUAAAUCAUCUUGCAAAAAUCGUACUAUACAACAAGGGACGGUUUAUUAUAAAAUAUACGUUCCCCUUAUCACAUGCCACUUCCACUCAAAAGGCAACGAAUCAGUUUUCAAUCCUGAGUGAGCAAUUUGCUUUUAUUACCGAUGCCUCCUAUUCCCUUGUGCACCAAGUUUAUUUUGGAUAGGGCUGCAAAAAACGACUAACCAGCUCGGAUUCUCCACCUGCAAAACCGCAUCUGCAGCAACCAACCCCACGCGGUGGAAAAAAAAACAAAACCUAGAAACCGGACGGGGGUGGAUGUGGGGCUCGGAGCCCAAGCAAAAAACGGAUCGGGAGCGCCGGAGCAGGCCAUCACCGGAUGUUAGAGAUAGAAAAUGGUUGAAGUUUGGAGUGGAAAUCAAACAAGCCUUGGAGCAAAGGAAAAAAAAAGAUCAAACCACUCAAGCAUUCAUUUGAUUUAGAAAAGAGAACAUUUGUUAAGGUGGGGAGUUGAAAUCAUCUUUUAAUUAGUUCCACGUAUCUGGUAUCAUUACAGUUGGUUUACUUGUGUAAGUAUAAGUAGCUCUGCCGAAGCCUUUGCUCCUAUAAUUUAGUAACUAGUACAAAUGGAUCAAUAGGAAAAUCAAGUUGCAAUCAUUUCUCAGCCAACCAAACCUAUGUAAAUCAAAUUAUUGUCCAUGCCCGGCAUGCACAGGUGCCUGCCAUGCAUGCAUUGUUGCUCCAUUGUAAUAACCAUUAUUGUCCAUCGAUGUUGCAGCGCAUGUGUGCACUGUGCAGACACCAAGCAUCGAGAUUAUGUACUAGUAAGGUGUUGAAAUAAUGGGCCUAGCCCAUAAGUAAUUUCAGAAUUUCAAAUAAAUCUCAAAGGCCCAUGUGGGCAAGAGGUGGAGUGGUGCAAGUCUUUAGUCCCACAUUGCUAGUCGAGGGGAGGGAUGACCAACUUAAAUAUGGAAGUUGUCUCCACUCCUCCAAGCUAUGUGUGAAGGGCGCGGGCGCGAGGCACUUGCGUGAAUGGUCCGCCGAAAUCUGGCCCCCCUUGCGGGGGCGCGGCUUCCUUUUGCCGUUUUAUUUUUUGGUUACUUGGUCGUUAAGUCAUGGAAUCCUAACCGGUUUAGAUCACGAUCGUGAAGGUUUUUGGGAAGCGCUCUGCGCGACUGCUCGAUCGCUUCUUCCGCUUCGUCAAGUUCUUCGUCGACUCCUUCACCACGGCUCGUCUACCUCUUCGUCGCUCGGGCCUCACUCGUCGUCGCGAACAACGUCAGGCUGCUGAUCGUCGUCGCCUGCUGUAUCCGGUAGUCGUCCAGGAGCCGGUUUUCAUCAAGAAAGAAACGUACGGUCUCUUAACUCACAUUAUGUCUUCCAUACUAGCUAUUAUGAUUGUUGCAGUCUGAUAGCUCUGGAUAGUAUGGUAGAAUGUCUGAUUCUAUUUGCAAUGAUAGACUUGUCUAGAUCUUGCGUAGACAUGUCUAGUUUAAUCUGCUGCUUGUUCAUCAUAUUCAUGAUUUAUUUCUGGAUUAAGUUAAAACUAAAAGUGCUUAUAUAUCCAACAUAAGGUACCAAGAACACGUGAAGCACCCGGGGGAGGCUGCUCCACUCCGCAUGCACAGGUGGGCACGGCACCACUACUCGUCUCCUUCAGGCUGAGGAUAAGUGAUGUACGCUGAUCAACAGACCACGACGGAACCAGCAAUAAUAGUUUCAGCCUGCCUCACAGUAAUUAAUAUAUCCUGUAUCCUCCGAGGACCCCUCCCCUUAAUCUUGGCCUAUUGCAUCCAAUAAUGAUAUGUGUGUUUAUCCAAAUUUACGGCACCUUUGGCGGGGGUUCCACCCAGCUCCGCCCUCUCCACCUUCGGUACUCCAUGGGAAACCAUUCCUUUGGAAUCAAGGAAGCUUGAACAGUAUAACGAAUAAAGUUUCAUAUAUCCAUUUGAUUUCACAUGAAAUAAAAUAUUCUGUCAGAACCAAUGGUUUCACUGAAGCUCCAGGCAGCGAGCGAAGGGGUGAGAGAGGAUAACGCUUACUGUGUGUUACCAUCGCGUGCACCAUGGAUGACCAACGCGCAGCCGAGAUGAAACGGCGGACCUAAACAGGUCCUCGCUAUUUUUGCAGGUUCUCGACCAGGCCAGUUCUUUAGGCCAACCUAUCAUUCACGAGUUAAACAUACGGUGGCUGGAGAAAUGUUCUAUUCUUUUAAACAAUACCAGCUGGUUCCUCCGUUUUUAUUCCACCAAUACAAGCACCACCUUGUAACAUUUCCUAUGUUUUUUUUCCUUUCGUCUGUUUUCUCACUACAUGCGUUGCUCUUUCAUGCAUUUUUUUCCAUUCCUGUAUUCCAAAUAGGUCUACAUGAACACAAAAUGAACUAGGGGACAGAAAAAGCCAGUGAAGUUAGUUUUGAGCUUCACCAGCUACUUGCUACAUAAAGUGUGCUAUAGUCGCAGAAAAGCUAAGCUGGAUCAGACGUGGCCGAAACAAUGCCAAAGAGCUAGGUCCCUAGCUGAUGGCAACACAUCAGAUGACUAGCCUGCUUUUCUGUAAUAAUGAUAUUGAGCAAUACACUGCAUGGCUAACCUGCUUUACAAUAAUUGUCAUUUUAUAAUAUUGGUCAUCACGAGAGAUGCACAUUGCAUACACCGGCCCAUCCCUAUAAAUAGCCAAGCCUUUCAGCCAUCUUGGGCACCUCCUCUCAGGGCCUCGUCUCACCAUCAGACAUCUCGUUCCCAGUUAUAAUUUGCGAGGUUAGAUCAGGCUGCGCCAUGGCGUCCGCAACUGCUGUCAAGAUCGUCGCCACCUUCAUGCUGGUGCUGACCAUGGGCCACCUGAUGGCCGAAGCAUCACCGCAGCCUCGGCGUGUGCUUGCAGAAACGGAGCAUGCUGCGGUGUCCGGGAAUCCUGGCCUCCCAGGUGAUGCUAGCGUCAUGCAGGUCCUCGAACCCGCCCUAGUUUCUCGGCUUGCCUGCAAACCAGAGUGCACAGUCCCUUGGCCUCCUUUUGUAUGUAUCUGCUAGAUCCUCUUCCUGGCUCAACGGAACUUCAGGGAAAUGGCUGUGACGUCGGCCAAAGAAUAAAUUGGAUGAACAUAAUAUACCCCGGGUAGUGUAGCUUGGGCUUUUGUUGAGCGUCUGGUGCUAGUUGUAUUUUGUUUGCUCAUGUGGCUUUGCUUCUGGUUGCAUAUUGGCUUUCCUAUCGCUCUCUGUUGCAGCUAUGGUUUCUGCCAGGUGUGUGUUAAUGCGGUUUGUAAGCGGUGCUUGUUCCUACCUUCUGUUUUCAAUAAAAGAAGUCGGAGUCUCCCUCCGACUCUUGUUAUCAGUCAACAAAAAUGAGUUGUAUCAUAUAUAUCUGCGUCUUUUUUCUACGUAUCUUUGGGCUGCUUCAGCUGGAAGUUUAUCGUAAGUACGUGUAUCAGGAUGAUCGUUUGAAUUAAAACGAAAUGAUAAUGUGUGGCUGCUAGAAAUGGAAUGAGCAUCUUACUAUAUUACUAAUUGGAAGCCUCCACGUGAAGCCACCUAGAAAUUCUAGGUGGACGUUUUAAAAAAAACAAAACUCAUAGAAGCCUCCACCACCUAGGAAUCCUAGGUGGACACUCUAAAAAGAGACAAAUCCUAGAAAUUCUAAAAAAAGAAAAAAAUAAUAACAAUAAGAUUUUUUUGCAGUCAAUUACAUAUAUUUUUUUGAGACACCGUGCUGCUAGCUCUUGCCAUUGCGACCAGUAAAGCAAGCAGAUAGUAAGAUGACAUGCGUGUGGAUUGAUUAAAACAAAUUCAGUUAGUUGAUUCUAAAUCGUAUGUAUCCUAAAAGGAAGAUAUGUGCGUGCAUGGUCCCUAGCGAUGACAUGUAGACAUGUAUUGCAAUUUCUUUUUUAAAAAACAUGUCUAUCUCUAAACCAACAAACAGAAAAAAUAUCAAUCUAAAUCUAAAUCUCUUCCGUUCUCACACGCCUAUUAAAGAGAAGACAACCAAUCCCAUCCAUGUUCCAUAGAAUCCAUCUAAAAGCUUGCUCACUGCGGACGGCAUUUGACGGCAAAUCAAUGAAAGAUCAUCCUCUCCAAAUAGCUGGACGGCAUCACCAUCUUUAUCUCACCAACCUACAGAGCUACAACGAUGUUGUAGAGAUCAACUAGGUAACCUACCAAUCACCCUCCCCUUUUCUAUAUGCUCUAAAGAACACGUGGAGUAAUUAUAGGCCUAUAGGAGCCGACUAACCUAGAUUAAUAUGAAAAAUAUUCCAAUAUUAAAAGCAAGCAGAUAGUAAUACUUGCCUUUGACCAUUUUUCUAGAACUGUUAUUCCUAUUGAAUGUUCAAGUGCUACGGCCAGGCAUCGAAUGCCUGCACGGAACCUUCCUAUUGAAUGGUUACUCUAGAGAUCAACGCACCGCGAGACAUUUUUAUGGAAUUUGUUUGAUUCCCCUUCUACAAUUAGAUUAAUUUUUCAUGGCAUAUAUUACUACUAUUAAAUUAUUUGUUUAUUGUCGGGCCUGCUGCAUGUGUGGUAUAUAUGACUUGCUUCUCACCAUUGUUCUCAAACUAUUAUUCCUAUCGAAUCUUUCUAUCGAAAUAUAUUUUAAUUACUUGAUUGUUGUUUGUGUACCAUAACUUCUGUAUAGAAAAAUUCCAUGUUUGUAGAUAAUGUCUUUUGUAUAGAAAAAUAGCCCAAUUAGAUCCAUCACCAUCUUUUGCUUAUGUAGUUGAACAAGUUGCAAUGUUGAACAAAACUUUAAGUGAAAUUAGACCAGGAAAAGGAAUUGUGGAACAUUAAGGCAAGGGUAACCAGAUUGUGGAAUGCAACCUUACUCAGUAGUGGCGAACAAUUAAGUCUUGACAUGAUCCUUAUUGAUCAAAAGGUAUGAUAGAUGUUCACUUUGAUUGCAUUAUUGGUAUAAUUUUUGGUUUACAAAUUAUUAAUGAUGAUGCAAAAUUAGGGAACCAUGAUCCACGGUGUUAUCAAUAAGCCCUAUAUGAAAAAGUUCAAACCAUUGAUUGAAGAAGGCAAUGUGUACAUAAUUGCAAAUGUCAGAAUCACACCAGAACCACAGAAGUAUCGGCCAGUGGAAAAUGACAGGAUAGUCAACUUCUUACCCACAACUGCACUAAAAACGAUCAAAGAUACUGAAGACAUUCCAAAGUAUAGUUUUAACUUCAUGAGCACGGAUAUGCUUUCAGCAAGAAUAAAUGUGGACAUGUACCUAUUAGGUAAAACAUUACUGGCUUUUCAAUUUUUACACUUCCACUCAUUAAAUGACCAUCUAAUAAUAAUACAUAUUUAUGUUUCAUAGAUGUUAUAGGUAUCUCAGCUCACAUUGGACCGAUAGAAGAAACAAGGACAAACUUCGGAUUUACUAAAAUCCGUGAUAUUGUGCUCCUGAUCGAGUAAUUCUCUUUUCUUUUGUAGAAAACAACUACAAAACUUUCAACAUUUACAUGUAUGUUAUAGAACUUCUGUUGAACUAAAAAAUAUCUUCUACAGUGCCCCUACAAAUAAUUAAUUUCGUAGUUGGAUAUUUAAAAUAUUUAUUAUUCACUUUUAAAUUUGUGGCCAUGAAGUUAAAGUUAGAUUUUGGGGAGACAAAGUUGAGGAAGUUGAUGAUAAGACAAAAUCCCAUGUCAUUGCAAUAACAUCUACAACUGUGAGUAAAUUUGGCAGUAAGUCUUCAUUCAAUAUGAGUUAUUCAAUAUUAGUCAUUCAACAAACUAACCUCGUAAGAAAAAUAAAUAAUUGAUGUUUUAUCAGGGUAUUCUCUAUCGUCAACCAAUGCAACAAAACUUUAUGUAGAUCUACCUAUUCCUGAAACUAAGGAUGCACAUGAUAGGUGAGAAAAAUUAGAUAUUGUUUUUCUAUUUUAAUCUAUGUAGCAUGCACUCUAACAUGAUACAUUCUUUCAUAUGAUAAAAAAAUGUUAGUUCAAUUGAAAAUAUUGUCAAAGAGAUUCAUAUUGAGGACCAUCUAAAAGGGACAUUGGAAGACCAAAUGCAGUACAAUAGAAGAACUUUAGAAGAAUUAAAUUUCAUAUUAUUUGAAACAUCAAAUCAGGUAUGGAUUAGUAUGUUCAUUGUACACUAUACUAUUUAAAGACUUACAUACAUAAUGAUGGUAUUGUUCCUACUUUCAGGAUGAGGUAUUUACUAUUGAAGCAACAAUAAAUGAAAUUAAUGCAACAUAUGGUUGGUUGUCACACCCGAUUUUAAGGACAAAAUUGAGUGCAUUAAAUACAUGUGCACCAGGAUCAAGUUACACACAUCCUAUGAGUACCGUCCUUCUUUGGCACAAAGAUAACCGGUGCUCCCCAUGGUGAUGAACUAGGCCGAAUAAACUAUUUUGCUGAUAAUUCCUCUAGUUGUUGUUUCAAUUCUUUUAAUUGUUCAACCAACAUUCUAUAAGGACGUUUGGAGAUAGGUGCAGUACCAGGUAAAAGAUCAAUAGCAAAUUCAAUGUCGCGGUCAGGUGGCAUACCUGGUAAAUCGUCGGGGAACACAUCCGGAUAGUCACACACCACUUUGAUAUCUUCCAAGGAUUUUCCAGCCAACUGAUUAACUGCACAAUCUGCUGCUGAGGGUAGAGUAGCUACAAACUCCACUUUCUCUCCAUCAGGACCUGUUAGCAGAACUGUCCUCUUGGCACACUGAAUCGUUGCAUCAAAAGCGGCUAACCACCUCAUCCCCAGAAUUACAUCGAUUCCACUGGACUCAAGGACGAUAAGAUCAGCCGGAAACUCUAUACCCAUUAUUCUCAGUUUAACUUGUGGACAGAUGUAUUGAGCCUUCAUUGACCCCCCAGGUGAACUCACUAGCAUAUGACGCCUCAUGGUAUGCAUGGGUAAAUUAUGCUUUGCUACAUAAUGACUAGUGACAAAAGAAUGCGAUGCUCCAGAGUCAAAUAAAACUGAUGCGGGGGCAGAGUUGACAAAGAACAUACCAAGCACUACAUCUGGAGCCUCCUUAGCAGUCUCGGCUUCCAUGUGGUUCACCUUGCCACAAACAAAGCUUUGCUGCCCCUGAUUGCCUUGUGGGGUCUGGUUCCCAUUCCUCGGUUGCUGCAUCUGAUUCUGCCGAGGAGCACUGCUGUUCUGCACGGGGGUAGCUGGCCCACCUCUCUUAGGACAAGAGCUGGCAUAGUGACCAACCUCGCCACACUUGAAGCAGGUAGGACCCACUGGAGCAUUGGGCCUUGUUGGAGUGCCAGUAGGGGUCAUCUGGCGGUUCUGCGUAAAGCUUGGGCGCGGAGUCUGCAUAGUCUGCAUCCCUGGAUGCUGGAACUGAGGGCUAGGGCGCUGGAAUGACUGCUGAGCAGGGCGCGGAAAUGAGUGCUGCCAAAAAUUCCCACUCGGGCCCCCUGCGCGGAACGGCGUCCCUUGCUGUGGAGCAAAGCGAGGGCGGGUGUUGCUUCCUGAAGACUACUGGGAAUUGAAUUUCCUCUUCAUCUCCCCGAGCUCGUUCCUCUUGUGUUCCAGGCCAAUUGCCUUGUCUAGCAUCUUCUGGAAACUGGGGAAGGUGUGCGACAUAAGCUGAUAUUGGAGUGGUCCAAUCAACCCAUCCAAGAAUAGCUCCUGCUUCUGCUCAUCAUCAGCAACAUCUUCGGGAGCAUAUCGGGACAACUGGACAAACUUGUCCCUGUACUCUGCCACUGUCAUGUUCCCCUGCUUGAGAGCAAGGAACUCCUUCUUCUUAAGCUUCAUCAAUCCGGAAGGAAUAUGAUGACUUCUGAAGCUAGUCCUGAAUUCAUCCCAGGUGAUGCCAUUAGCAUUGGCAUGGGUGGUGGUGUAAGCAUCCCACCAAUCAGCAGCUGGCCCUUCCAGGCGUCCUGAAGCAUACAGGACCUUCUCCCUGUCAGUACAUUGGGCGAUAUCCAGCAUCUUCUCCACUGUUUUCAGCCAAUCAUCAGCAUCUAAUGGAUCCGGAGAAUGUGAAAACGUCGGGGGCUUGUGGCUCAUGAACUCCCUAUGCCUGUCCCUUGGCGGCGGCUGCUGCUGGUUGUUGUUGUUGUUAUUGUUCAGCUGAGCUUGUAAAGCUGCCACGGUGUUGGUCAGUCCGGCGAGAAGCUGAGUCUGAGCUGCUAGAAACUGCUCCAUCCCUGCAGGUGCUUGUUGGUUCUGUUGCGGAGCGGUGUUGGGAUUGCUGCUGUUGUCCCUGUGGCGUGGCACUGUGGGACGGUCAACUCCUGAUCCGGACCUGGUGUUUACCAUCUGAGCGUUAGAGACAAUGGAUUUAGAUAGAUGUGUGAAAGAAUAACUGAGAAAGAUAAAGCGACCAGAUGUAAAAGUAACACAGAUUCUGUUAGCUCCAUUUAAUUAGGUGUGGUCGUCAGAAGAAGUGUCCAUAAAUUCUGAACAAUUACCAAGUCGUAACUUAUUAAAUUUGUAAACCAACCCAACUGGAAUCAUCUCAAUCGGACUUCUGGAUCUCGAGUUACAAAAUUAACAAGCUGACAGUGUCGGUCGAUAGGUUCAGAUUCUGAGUGCUUUACUAAUUCGCAUACACCUCCCAGACAGAUACACCAAAAAUUCUGAAAAAUUUACAGAUAGUACUCCACGAAAUUCUGAAACUAACCCCACUGGUUUCAUGUCAUUUGGACUUCUGUAGCUAGAGAUAUAAAUAAAAAAGUACUGGCGUGUCAGUUAAUGUCGAGAACAGAAUUGAAUGUCGCUUAGCUUGCGUGAUGGAUAGAUUUAGACAGAUGGUAGAUCAUGAUUAAGGAAGAUUAAAUACUGAUUUAGAACAGAAAUAAAACCCAACUAAGCACUUUAUUUAUUAAGACCAGUAUCGUGUGGCAAUUGCCCCACAUACCGCACUCAUUACAAAAUCCAACUCAAACAUGUAGCACAAAACCAAUCAUCUAAGCACACUUUAACUAACACACUCGAACGACGUCUAACGAUUACAAGAAUUUAAACUAAAACACUCCUAAUUUCCUAGAGGUCUUCUGCGGCGGUGCCGGGCGAGUCGUAGCGGGGACGCUUAGGCGACGGCGACGAAGCGGGAUGAACAGCAAACUCCUGCGGCGGCGGUGCUCCCGUCGCGGCAGCCAUAUUCGCAUCCCUCUCCCACCGGAGUUCCUGAACCUCCUGUUGAAGCUCCUGGAUGUGGUUGUUUGCUUCAUUCAAUGCGGUGAGAGCUGCCGACGUGUACUUGCGGAGGAAGUCUGUAGCCAUGUCAACCCCAUCGUUAGUAGCGAUGAAGGUUCUUGCUUCCCCACUAGCUCGGUAAGGAAGGAACCGAUGGUAAGUGUGCUGCAAUCGCGGCCGUUCCUUGUGGGAGACGACCUCAAGUGCCCUCCUGGCGGCCUCGGCAAUGCCGGAUUCCAUGGUCCUCCUUAUGGUCACAUCAUGGUGAAAAGCCUUCACCUCCCAUCCUCCCUCGUGCUCCUCACGAAGGACAACCUUCACCUCCCAAAAAGUGGGAUAGCGAGGGUGGGUGAACCGGGAGCACUUGUAGAGUGGCCUCAUGCCGUACCCCAAGCGGUGACAAGUCCACCUGAGUAUGUCGGCCAUGUGCACUCCUUGGCCAUAAUCUUCCUUCACCCAUUUGAUCCAUGUCUCGGGCUCGGGAUCUGCUUCGGGCUCAUCAUCCGUCAAGUCGACGACCGGUACGGGCGUCGGGGCUGGUGCAGGAGCGGGCGCCGGUGCUGGCGACGGUGCUGGUGACGGCGUGGUCUCCUGCUCCACGGUCACGGCGUCCCCGUCAGAGUCAUCCCCCGGAUGCUGGAAGAUCUCUUCCUCUUCUUCCUCGUCCCAAGGCUCCAUGGGGGCGUACGACGGCGCGAUGCCAUGACGCGGCGGACGGGUGCUCUUGCGUGCGGUCAACCGGGUGCGAGCCAUCUAACAGAAAGAAAGAAGAAAAUUUUAGAAUAAAAUUUUGAACAAAGCUAGAUAAUAAAAUAGCAAUAAGGAUGAGACAAAUCAAGUUUAAGAAUAAUUAAGUAGAUUUAAAUUAAGAAAGGUAGGAAUGGCUACUAGAUUAUUAUAAUCCUUAAAUACGACCAUUUUCUAACUAGGCUAACGUCCUACAGUCAACACGGCUCUGGUACCACUUUUGUCACACCCGAUUUUAAGGACAAAAUCGAGUGCAUUAAAUACAUGUGCGCCAGGAUCAAGUUACACACAUGUACGACAAUAGUGAAUAGUAAAGCCAGUGCUAAAUCGAAUAAAGAGAGUAUUAACCAUUAUUACAUGACCGAAUGUCUCAAAUAAACCACAAAGUCUAAUUAUUACGCAGCGGAACUCCAAAGAUGACGACGACUCCAUAGGCAGCUGACUGAAGAAACGUACGCCUAGAACUCCUCGAAGUCGUGGAAGUACUCCUCUUCCCAAUUAACUUGGUCUGAACAGCGGUUUUGCAAGGGUGAGUACACUUAUGGUUGGUACUCAACAAGUCGUGGGAAGUAGUGUAGUGUAAGGCUAAUUCAAGGUAUGGCUAAGGCGUAAAUAGCAUUCGCUUUUAAUUAAGUUGGUCAAAUUUUAUUAGCAUUUACUAAGUAUAAGUUCAUACCACCCGAAAUUAAACAUGAACAUAAAGUAAACCACAUGUGCAUGAAAUGAUAACAAAUUAAAUCCAUCUUCCGAUAAUAUUAUCAUGUGAGGGUCCAGGCCGCUCUUAACCGUGAGCACGGCUGAUUGAUCAGUUUAACACUCUGCAGAGGUGGCACAUCUUUACCCACAAGUCGCGUAAAAGUUCAAAAGAACUUUGGACCCAACCAUGCGGUGUUUGCAAGGCACCAUACCACACUUCCGAGGUGUGAUUGCAUAGGGACGCUACGAGGCCUUUACAAAGAUUCAUUAAUCAGUGGUAACCCGCUAAGGUUUCGGUGUCUGGCGUGCACCACCCAUCCCAGGUAAAAUGCAACGACUCAGUCCCCCCCCUUGAAUCAUCACGAGUAAGGUCACCCCAGACUAAGGUUUCUAAUUAAUCAGCCAAGACCAGAGCUAUUUAGUCUUGUGGUAGCACUGUUUUCCUGGGUGGUCGCUCCAUGUUCUGAUUAACAAAUAAUGAUCUUGUCUUAAUGAAAGGUAUAACAGAAAUAAGGCAAGAUUAAGCAUUGUUUUUAGUUAAACCACCAUGUACCAAGUAAGCACUAAGCAUGAGCUACCCAACAUAAAGUAAACCGGUUGGUCAAGGCAAAGGUAAAACAAUCUAGGCCAACCUUAAUUGGGACCCAUCAAUUUAAUCUUAAUAUGUGCACAGCAUAAAUGUUGAGUACGAGAAAGUAAAGGUGUAUAGGACAAAAAGGUAGUGAUCAAGGACACGACUUGCCUUCUUGGCCUUGCUCCUGCUGUUCGUACUCCUCGAAGGCUUGAUCGGCAACUCCCUCGAACUGCGGGGCGUCUACACGCAUCACACGAGCACAUACAAGCAAACAUGGGCAAAAGUAAGAAAACAGUAUACCAAACAUAGUCAAACAGAGAAAACAAGCUUGAAAAGAUGAUCUACGCUUUAAAACGAACACGCGGAUAUAAAGAACGCGAAAAACGGAGUUAAGAUGCAAAAGAUAUGAUUAAAACAAAAUCCAGGGACUUUUCUGUAAGAAAAACAAAACUUUUAGGGCCUAUCCGCGAAAACCGAGGGCUUAUACGUAAUUAUGCGUAUAAACCGAGGGUCUGAUGCGUAAAAACAUCAAACCCGGACGGCGGGUUGAUUUCUGGAAAGGUCAAGGGUUAAACCGAAAAAUGCGAGGGCAGAUCUGUAAAUACUUUCAACGCGAUCUGGACCGCGGGUUGAUUUGCGAAAAAGGCGGGGGCUAAAGUGCAAAAACUGCACGGCGCGGCUCGGUUGACCGGUACGCGAUCUUGAUUGACUCGCGUCCGGCCGUCGGAUUAAGAUCCGACGGUCGCGGUGAUCCGCGACAUCGCGGCGGCGGCGGCGAGCGGCGGCGAGCGGCGGCAAGCGGCGGCGGGUCGCCGGAGUUAGGCAAAAUAGCGCCACGAGGCACGGUUUAACGCGCGGGUUGCACCAAAAAAGAGAGGGGAACACGUCGAUCCCGUUUUGGGGGUUCUUGUCGACGGGGGCUCACCGGCGACGGCGAACGGCGGCGAGGAAGAGGCGGCGGCGCUAGGAGCUCGGGCGGCUAGGGUUUCGGGGAGCUGCGGCGCUGGUUUUGGGCGGAGGAGACUGGGAGGAGGCGGCGGCUUUUAUAGGGCUUGGAGAUAGAGCCGGCGCGGGUUCAAAUCCCCCGGAGGAGUCGGAGCGGAUGGAGUCCGGGGCGGAGACGGCGCGCGGCGGUUGCGGAGUUCUGACCGGAUUCGGCCGGAGGUGGGAGACGAUGGGUGGGGUCCACCCGUCAGUGGCGGAGGGGAGCGGUAGACGGGCCGGCGCGACCGUGGGCUGGCGCGCGCUCGUGGGCUGCGGGGAGCGGGAGAGAAGCGGCGAGCGGGCGCUGGCGGAGCAGGCCGAGCGGAGGUAGAGCUGGGCCGCGGAGAAAAAGGAGGAGGCCGGCGGGCUGCUUCGCAGGCCGGUAAGGAUGAGGCGGCCGGGCCGAAGAAGAAAAAGAAAAGGAGGGACAAGGAGCUUUCGGCCGAGGGAAAAGAAGAAGAAAAAGAAAAGGAAGAAGAAAAGGGAAAAGGUUUUGGAAUUUGAAUUUAAAUCUGAAAUUCAAAAUUUGAUUCAAACUCAAGCAACCAAAAAUUAUGCUCCAGCAUGAAUGCACAAAUAAUUCCUAUGAUGAAUUAAUUGAAUUAAAGAAAAUGAAUUUAAAUGCCUAGAAAUUAAAUAACACCCUAAUUUGAGCAAAUUUUAAUGAAUUUGAAUUAUUGAAAUUUUGGGUGUUACAUUGGUACUACAUCUCAUGUAGUAGAGGCGAUUGUAAGAAGCAACUUGAAAAGAAGUUUGAUCACUACUAUUGCAAUAAAUGUGACAAGAGAGCCGAACCUAAAGCCCAGUAAAUUAUUUAGUAGUUUACAAUCUUAUUAUAAUACUUCUAUUUCUAAUAGGAGAAUAAUAUUUUCAGAUUCAAAUUAAGCUUCAAAUAAGUGAUCCAACAACAAGUGCAACUUGUGUACUUUUGACAAGGAAGCAGAAAUGAUAAUUAAUGAAUGAGCAGAUUCGAUGAUCACCUCAGUUGAUCAUGAUAAUAAGUAGCUACCAAAAUCAAUUCAGGAAAUAUGUGAAGAAACAUUGAUUUCUCAAUUCAGAUUGACCGAGUACAACUUGACAAGUUUUAGACCUGAUUAUACUGUUUCAAAGAUAUUUUUUCCAAAAGAAAAGGGCAGUUCAAGAAUUGGUAUGGAAAGUGUAAAAAAGGUAACACUUUAUUAUUAAUUUUUUAUUGCACUUUUUUCUUUUGAAUCCGUAAUACUUAAUAAUUUUACUAUAUCAAUGAAACAAAUUCUAACCUAAAUUUAUUUUCUUUUUUAUUAUUUGUAGGAAGUAGAAGACAACUCAGACAAAUGCUACACGAUAACUACCGAGAAUGAAGAGGUAGACACUGAUGACUCUUUUACCGAGAAAGUAACAUUCGUAGAAGAAGCCAUAAGGACUGGGGAAAGAUUGGCUAGAAAAGUAUACUCACUUCCAUGUCAGUGUUCAUUCUAUUUACAAUACAUGCAAAAAAAAUAUUAUUCAUGCAAAAUUGCAGGUCUACUAAGCAUUAAAGGAAUAGCGGAUAGUGCAAUAUGUAAUCUGAGCAGCAUGCAUUACAAAGUGCUCUACUGCAAUUAAAUUAAAAAACAUGAUAUAUGUUGAAUUCUUAGACUUUAUUAUUAUACUUUUCUACGUGACAAUUCACAAUUUUUUAGAAAAAAGAAGAUCCCAGAAGAAGUGACCAUGAAAAAAGGUCUAUGACCAGCAAUAAGAAAAAAUGCAAGCAUAGAAACAAAUCCGUAGAAAACAUAGAAAAUAAGGUACUCCAUAAACAAAAGUAUUCUCUUAUAUUUUUAUUAAAUAUUUUUUUAACACUUGACAAGUUCUUUUUUAGGAUCAAUAUAUCAGCAAUUCAGAUGUCAUUGGAGAUGAAACCUUAGUUCAUCCAAAAGGUCAAAAAAAAACAUCUGAAGAAAGGUGUUUGGCUGAAAAGGAAAAGCAAAAAAGUGGUAAUGCAGACAAACACAUGCAGAAAAAUAUAAAAACAUGUCAUAGGGAGGCAGACCAAUCUUGCAAGGAGGUAUAGACGAAACGUGAUACACGACCUGCCUACCUUGUCGUGGAUACCCCAAGAAGAUGUCAUAGAGGUGCAGACCAAGCUAGCAAGGAGGUCGAAACGUGAUACACGGCCUGCCUACCUUGCCGUGGAUAUUAGCCCUGAGAUCAUUCUACUGUUCAAGGAAUAACACUCAAUGCUGCUGCUGCUGCUGACCUGGCUCCAUAAAGUUAUACUCCUCUAGGUGCUUGCACUAACUUUAUCUGAAGUAUUAUUCUCUCUGCACUGUAUAUAUGGUUAUGGAGUUUGCUGGAGUAUCCGGGGCGAAGAACCUACAUAAUACGUCUUGGAACUAAUUGACAUUGAUUCACAGACAAACUCUACAAGGUGCUGUUCUUGCCAUUUUAGAGCAUCCAAAGGACUAUAAAUAACAUAGUUUACCAUAUACCAUAUACCAUAUACCAUAAUAUGUUAGCUAAAAUAAGAGCAUACACAUGUUGCAGGAGUCCAAAAGCACCGGUUGAGGACCAGGUACAUUGAAUUACUAGAAAAAGACAGGGGACAAGGUUUAGGUAACCACAUGAAACAUUUGAAUUUAUUGUACUAUGAACACUUAGUUACCAUGCCAGGAGCACAUAGUUAACACUAACAUUUAGCCACUUUAGAUCAUCCCGAAUCACCAAUGACCCUCAAUAGUGACAAAUUUUGGUUUAAAUGCCAUCACCAAUGAUCCUCAAUAGUGACGUAUUUAGGUUUAAAUCCCGUCACUAAUAACCCUCAAUAGUGACCUGUUUUGGUUUAAAUCUCAUUACCACUGAUCCUCAAUAGUGAUGUGUUUUAGCAAAACAUGUUAUCAAUGACUUGUCAUUGGUGACGUGUUAAAACGCGUUAUCUCAAUGGCAAAUCAUUGGUGACGUGUUAUCUCAAUGUUAUCAAUGUUCUAUUCUUUUCAACAAUACCAGCUCGUUCCUCCGUUUUUAUUCCACCAAUACAAGCACCACCUUGUAACAUUUCCUAUGUUUUUUUUCCUUUUGUCUGUUUUCUCACUACAUGCGUUGCUCUUUCAUGCAUUUUUUUCCAUUCCUGUAUUCCAAAUAGGUCUACAUGAACACAAAAUGAACUAGGGGACAGAAAAAGCCAGUGAAGCCAAUUUUGAGCUUCACCAGCUACUUGCUACAUAAAGUGUGCUAUAGUGACGUGUUUUAGCAAAACAUGUUAUCAAUGACUUGUCAUUGGUGACGUGUUAAAACGCGUUAUCUCACUGGCAAAUCAUUGGUGACGUGUUUUAAAAAAACAUGUCACCGUGAGAGUCAUUGGUGAAGGGUAAUUAAAAUGCGUCACUAAUGUUGUAGCAUUAGUUAUGAUAAUUUAGUAACGCAAAAAUCUACCAUCAGUAUUGAGCUUUAGAGCCAUCGCUAAUGUGGGUUUCUUACAUAGUGAUGCAAGCUCUACAAGGUGCUGUUGCUGCCAUUUUAAAGCAUCCCAUGACUACAUGUUAAUAACAUAGUUUACCAUAUAUCAUAAAAAUAUUAGUUACAAUAAGCACAUACGCAUGUGGAAGAGUCCGAAUGCACCGGUUGAGGACUAAACACAUUGAAUUACUAGAACCAAAUGUAUGUUUAGAACAAAGACAGGGGUCAAGGUUUGGGUAACCGCAUUAAAAACAUUGGAUUUUACUGUACAUGAACACUUAGUUACCAUUACCAUGCCUUGAGCACCUAGUUACAACAAACAUUAAUUUAGCCACUUUAGAGCUUCCAGAAUCGCUAUAAAUAAUAUACCUACGCCGUACCAUGAAAACAUCAAGAAGAGAGACGGAUACAUGGACCACCAUCAAGCGAGUAGUGACAGCACGCACAAGAAUACCCGGAACCUGUUAGCUUGUCUGUAGUGAUCUGUUUUCUUCCCCAUAAAAUCCAUGAGUAUUGCCACAAAUAAUGAAAGAGGCUGACCAAGCUAGCAAGGAGGUAGAGCAAACGUGAUACACGGCCUGCCAAGAUUGCCCUGGAUACGCCAAUAAGAGCGACAGAUACAUGGAUCACACCAAUAUGGUGAAACGUAUAUUCAUCACACAAGCAAAGCUGGUCAGUUUAUCCAUGGUCAAAUUGUGGUCUUUGUUUUCACUUGAGAGCUAAUUGAGGCACUAUAAUAUGGGCAGGCCUAUCUUCAACAGACAUGACAGCUACAGGGAACUUGACAUAAUUUGCUGGGCCGCCUGUGCACAAUUAUUUGUUUUAUUGUCCUUGCAUAGAAUGCUAAAAUACUCUUUACAAAAUGUUGGAUCUAAUAUUUGAAAUAUAGAGUAGUAAUCAUAUAUUGAUCAACAACUUGAAAUUAUCUGUACAUUCUCGGUGAAGCUGUUGAACUAAUUUUUGCAAAUUAUUAAUUCAUCUCAUUACGUAAAGAAAAAAGUAAGUGGAUAAGAUAUUUCGUGGACCACAUCACUGCAAACAUGUCAUGGAGAGACAGACCAAGGAGGCAGGACGUGAUACACGACUUACCCUAGGUUGCCGUGGAACCGCCAAGAAGAGAUACAGAUACAUGGACCACACCAUCUUGGGAGUAGUGACAGCAUAUAUGCAGAAGAAUACCCCGUGCCUAUUUGCAUGCAUGUCUCAAGUGAUCUGUUUUCUUCAGAAAAUACAUGAGCAUUGCCAGAAAGAAUGGCAAGAGACAAACAUGUCAUAGAGACUUGCAUGUCUUGCCUUGGAUACGCCAAGAAGAGGGACACAUACAUGGAUAACACAAAUCUAGUGACACGUAUAUUCAUCACAAAGGCAAAUCUGAUAAUUUUAUCCAUGGAGCAGACCAAGGAGAAAUUGAUGACGGACAUGUGAUCUCUGUAUUCAGUUGAAAGCUAAUUGAGCUACACUAAUAUGAGCAGGACUAUAUUCAAGAGACUUGUUGAGAGCUACAGGGAACUUGUAAUAAUUUGCUGGGCGGCCUGCGCACAAUGAUUUGUUAUACAUAGUUGAAAUAUUUCAAGAAUUUAUCAACCUCAUACUCUGAAACCCUUGGUGCAAUGUACUCUGCUUUCCGAGGUAGACUGUUCACGUAAAAUGAGGUCAUGCGUAAGACGGAAUCGGAUUGGAUUCACAGGGAAUCAGAUUUGGAUAGCACCUUUUAGCAGGUUUUUAGUCAAAUGCAAAUUCGGAUCCACAUGUGGUUGAAUGCGAGUUCAAAAUUCUACUUGGAUAUCCAUUUAAUUUAGGUGAUAGCAAUUAGCACAAAAUGUUGGAUGAACAAAAUCAUAGUUAGACAUACAAUUACAUGUAUGGUUAAAGUAUAAUACAAUACACCAAGAUUAUUCCUUGAAAAUAUUUCUUAAAAAUAUUAUAAUAAAUGAAUAAAUAUAAUUGUGGCCACCAACAAAUAGUCGGUGGUCGCUAAGUUGGAGCCAUUUCUGGUUACUAAUGCGGCCUUCUCCUCGACCAGCGACGACAGCUGAGCUUGUUCCUUCUGACACUAAAUCAUCAGAGUCUUCCCUCCACUACUAUAGAAUGCACCUUUAGCACCAAUUGGGAAAUCCCCUUCAGUAUUGGAUGCUGCAACCAGUGCUAUAUAUCAAAAUGGAGACUAAAAGCCUCGGUCUUGGGUACCGGUUGCAUAACGCAUUACUAAAGGAGGCAAAAGAGAAAUGUAACAAAAAAAAUAUUUUGAAUUCCAAGAAUGUUUCACUAUUCAAGAUGACUAGCUGAGAGUCAACAGACAAGAUACUAGGAAUGUGGGUGCUUGAAUGCAUUUGUACAGAGGUCAUACUAUUUACAAACUCUUCUAUGUUUCCAUAUGACUACCUACUUCAAUGUCACGCGAGCCAUUCAGCUGGACACAUGGCACACUAGCUUGCAUGUCGAAUCCAUGAUUAAUUAUUUGCACUUGUGAUCUCUUACCAGUAUUUGUCCAGACUAGAAACGUGCAACACAUUUUUAGGAUAUGGACACGCAUAUAUUUGGACUAGUAUACAGGUCACCUUUGGAUGCGUACAAGGAUGACCGGGAGGGACUAAUGGAUACAAGGAAGGGACCAUCAGGAUUAAUAUUGACAUAUGCCACAUGACAAUCUUCAUUGUCAUGCAAUCCCUAUCAACAAUCAUGGAAUCCCUAGUGUACUAAUCCCUGGAGGGUUGUGUGGAAAUUUAUUUUACCUUGCGGUGAAAAUCUCAUGAGCAGUCAUUAGUUAAGCUGACUAGCUGAGAUAUAAUAGACAAGCUAGUAAGAUUGGGAGCAUCAAUGCAUCCAUACAGGGUCACAAUAUCCUUUCCAUUCACUUUUAUAUAUAACCCUACGAAUACAAGUCCAACGAAAUGCGGGCCUUUCGAUCAAGAUAAAUUAAAUGGCCCACUUGUAUUUCUAAUCCAGGAUUAACUAUGCCCUCUGUUCAUCUCUUGCAAGCACGUGCAACACAUUUUCACGAUAUGGACAUGCAUGGAGGUUAUUAUACUGUUUGGACAAACUCUGAUGUGCCAUGACCUAAAUGCUUAGGGCCUGUUUGGUUUGAGUUGCUUAUUAUAAGCAACUUAAAGUUGCUUAAAGUUGCUUAUUUGAAGUUGCUUAUUUUUAGUCUAAACUGUUUGGAUACCCUUGCUUAUGAGCAUUGAAUGAGUUGGACAUUGUCAAAUUUGCCCCAUGUGUUGCUACCCCUCCAAUUUGCCUCCCCACCCUUCUUCUUCCUGCACACGUCCGAUCCCGGGGGCCGACGGCGGGCAGGGAGCAGCAGCAGCUGGCCAGGGCGGCGGUGGGGCGGGAGCGGCGGCGCACACCAGCACGCGCUCGCACGCCAGGUGCUAGGGCGCGGCGAGGCAGUCGUCGUAGCCCACCGGGAGCGGGUGCUCGGGCGCGAGGCGGUACUCGACGGAGAUGCCGAGCGUCGGGCGCGCGGCGGCGAGCGCGUUGAGGAAGCGAUGGUAGUGCGGCGACGUCGCGGACUCCGCCACGAAGCCGCCGCCGUGGACGUACACCACCACGGGCAGCUUCGUCUUGCCGUCGGCGGCCGCGGCCGCGGCCUGGGGUGGCAGGUAGAGGCGGACGGAGCAGGAGCCGAGGUCGACGUCCCUGGAGUCGACGCCCGUGGCGGCGUCCAGGCUGGGCCCGACCGGCGGCGGCACGAGCGGGCGCUCGAUGCGGCCGCUCUUGUAAAUCCGACGGGUCUGUGCGGAGGCGGGCGGCGGGCGGGAGCGGCGGGUGGGAGCGGCGGCAGGUGGUGCGGAGGCCGGCGGCGGCGGGUGGCGCGGAGGAAGGGGAGCUGGUGAGUGGUGACAGGGGAGGGGGGGAGAGAGAGGGGGGGUAGGGUGCAUUGAAUGAGGGCAGGAGGUGUAAAGUGCACCUUUUAGUCCCCAUGAGCAACCAUAAGCAGCCCAAGAGUUGCUUAUUUGCUUAUAAUAAGCAACCUCAUAAGCAAGAGUGAUUGGUUUCAUAAGCAACUUAUUUGCUUAUUUUAAGUUGCUUAUGCAUAAGCAUGUGAAACCAAGCAGGUCCUUAACCUAUGGUUGUGGCACCACACAGUACAUAGUAUUUAAUAAUGCUAUUCGUUUGGUAUGUGCACAAGGGCACGCAUGAAAUGUCUGGCCCACGGUAAACAAGUACGGACGCUGCAAAUAAUCUACUCUGCUCGUCCAGUCCCUAGCCUAUAAAUAGAUGCCAUGCUAGCUCUUGUUGUGCUCACAAUUAAUCCUGACUACACACGAGCUUCUCUCCCUGGCCAAGACACAAUCAUAGUAUGAUGAAGAACAUGGCACUAGCCGGCAAUGGUAUGAAGAACUUAAUCCUCGCUGUUCUCUUACUGUGUCUAGUUAUAGGGCAGAUACAAGUGGAAGCUAAGAGCUGCUGCCCAUCCAUUACUGCAAGAAAUAUCUACAAUGCCUGCCGUAUCACGGGUACAUCCCGUCCAACGUGUGCAAAACUGUCAGGCUGCAAAAUUAUCAGCGGGGACAAAUGCAAGCCCCCUAACGACCACCUCACCCUUGACCCGGACACUGGUAAAUAAUAAAUUUAUCUCACUUGAUUUCUUCGUGUUUUGAGUCGUUAAUGUAUUUUCCAUCUGAUGAAACGUAUUGGUUUUGCAUUGAAGAGGAAGUUAAUGUGCUUAACUUCUGCAAGUUGGGGUGUGCGUCGUCUGUGUGCAACAACAUCAACGCUGGUAAGCACCUUUUGCUCAGACGGAGAAAACAAUAAUCAUUAAUUAGCGGCAGCUAGAAUCCUAUAAUCUAAUAUAUUUAUAUAUAUAUAUAAUUUUAUCAGCUCUGGGAAAUGAAGAGGCGAACGAUGCCGUUGAGAGUUGCGACCAAGCCUGCUCUAGCUUCUGCAACGUGCACGUUGGCGCUGCCACCGUGGUUGCUUAAGCAAAUGCAUCCAACUGGAUCGUCCUUGUGCUAAAUAAUUGGAUAUCGUAUCCACUUAAAGCUGCCUUGUGUAGUACGUUUUUGUUUGUGUCUCUCUUUAUAUUCCAAUAAGGUCGGUGAUCUUGAUGCCACACACUCAGACGUGUGUUCAUCUCCAGAUACUACUCCAUGCUACCUGCCCUUUGUGUUUUGUUCAAUAACUGGGUAUCAUAUCCCAGCCAGUGUGCCAUCUGUUUUGUGUUUAUUUCCUUCUAGUUUCAAAGGGGUUAUCAUGAUGUUACCUUCUUUCGAUAUGGUGCUUUGCAUGACUACUGUUGUAUGGUACCAUCUUGUUGGCCAAUAAAUACAUCUUAUCCUAUGACCCUUUGCUAUGACCCUUUGCAAAUAAGUACAAGAUUGUUAAAUACUCGGUAUAAAUUGACUACUGCUGUGAGUUCCCUUUCAGCUUAUCGUAGGCAUACAUUAUUGCUAGCACGGUGAAGACAACCAACACGAAUGGUCAAGUAAACGUACCGGUACUUUUGUAUACCAACACCCUUGCUUAAAUGUACCGGUGUUACUCCCCACUAGCACAUAUAUUCUUAUAUGCUAGCCGGCUUGAAAAUUAACCGAUUAAAAUAAUUAUUUCAAGACAGAAAUAACUUAUCGGCUUCUCGAAGCAUGUGUAAUGUGAAUUCAAGGACUUGAUGGAAGUUGAAUCGCUUAAUCUAGAUUGCUUUCAGGAUUUUGGGUAACUAAAUUUAACAUUUGCACAUACAAAUGUUAAUGUACAAAUAUUAAAUAUAGUUACCCAAGCAGAAUAUGAAGAUACUCUAUAGUAUAUAUAUACUAUAUAAAUCUAGUUAACAUUUAGUCUAAAUGUUAAAUCUAGUUACCUAAAAUCCUGAAAGCAAAAUGUAUAAAUAUAUAUCUUUUAAGGAAUCCCAAAGCAAGAGUUCAGUGGCAUUCUAUAGUCCCAUGCUGCUAGUUUGAGUUGGUCGAAGCCAACUUAAAUAGGAGAGCUCUCUCACUUCUCUAAAUACGUAACUGAAGGAGAGAAGGGGGCUUGGUUACACAACGCACGCACGCACGCAUAUUUGCGUUCUUUUCGCGUAACCAACCGCGUGACUUGAAACUUGCGACGUAGCGUGCUGCCAAGUCAAGUUGAUAUAACCUUUUUGCCGUAGGCGUGUAAUCUUUUGACAACGGUCAUUGGAGGUGAUAAGCACGCAGUCAAUACCUUAAUCCUGAG